AGGGAGAGAGAAACGUUCAAACUGAAAGGAAAAAAUGGUGUAACUAUUUUCAAACAAAGGUAUUAAAUGUCGAUGGACAUGUCAGAGACAUCGGAUCAAGAUCCGAGGGUCAUCCACACUUUCCCCUCCGUAACGUGUUAUCGCUGGAUUAAAAUCUGACGACCAACAGGGGCGGAGUUACAGCGUAGACAUUGGGUUCAGAUGAGGAAUUGGAUCCGAGCCUACACAUAUGAACCCCAUGAUUAUAGUGUAAUGAACCCAGUGGUUUCCUUUUCUGGCUCCACCCGUGACGACCAAUCACGUCGACUUGUCUCUAACUAAAAAAAUACAGACGACUUCUUAAUAGCAAAACAUGAAAAAGGAAUAUAAUGUCUCUGUAAAAUAUAGAAAGACGUGGUUCUCCGUUAAGAUGUUGUGGUUAUUUCUCUUCUGUCAGUUGACCAUUUUUGUCCCCGUCUGAUCCAGCGCCGCUCCGUUACCGUACCAUGUUUUUUCACGUCAUUAUCCGUCCGUAUUCCUUAUUUGUUUUUGCAUUCAUAUCAUGUCCGUGCCGCUUCCAAACCAAUGGAAAUUGUGAAAUAAAAUAUGGUACUAUAUAAAAUCAUUAUCCGGUCCCGUUUUACAUAUAUGCUAUAUUCCUCAAGUAUGUACAUCGAUCGCGGUCUUGUAUGAUUCAAAAACAAAAACGAAAUAUCAGUAGAGAGCAAGCGUACAUGCACACGCAGGAUAUGCUUUCGUUGGUUAAUUCGGUGUACGUACGGACCACCGCGAUGUCUCUGCGCCCGUCGACGUCACACACGCUUACGUGAGUGCGUGCGUACAGUCGGUGAUUAAUCGAUCCGGAAACGUGCCAAUAUAGUCUGCAGCCGCGCCGGCUUUUUAUACUCCCUGCAAUCAAUGCACCCGGCCCUCUCGUUUCGGCCGAAAACUGCAUACCACGCUCGAUCGAAUCAUCCAAGUAUACAGAUACACACAUGCUUCUCGAUGACUCGAUCGAUGGACUUACGGUAUAAUCGUACAGUAGUUGCUUUCGCUUCCAGACGUAGGUACACGGAACGACGAACCGGGAAAAACGGCCCUCCUGCUCCUGGCUUGGAAUCAUUCCACCUCUGGUGGAAAUCCUGGACCACCCGUACGUCCAUAUGCUCCCUUGCGAGUUGCAGACACGUUAUACGUACUCAUGUAAUCGCUCCGUUUCAUAAAAAUUGACACGAUUUUAAAUCAGAACUAAGUUAAAAUCAUGUCAAUCUUCGUGAAACGGAGGAAGUACCUGACAGGAAUGCAUGCAGGGAUCAGGCACUCCAGUUUGGAGUUGGAACGGGGCACACAUGUGGAAAAAGUUUCGAACUAACAAGGUGGCGACUGCGACCAAAGCCAGAACCAUUUUUUGUCGAGCACGAUCGAUCGACCUGCAGCGCCAGAGCCACUAGAGGGCCCAGAUCAGCUUGCCCCGCCCCAAUUCCAUGCGUUCCGGUUGUUUCCUUUCGAGCCCCCUGCCCCAGUUGCCUGCCCUUUUAUCUCUCAGCGAUCAGUUACGUUCAUGCAUUCUUGGCCACACGUACCUACACUACAAUCGGUACUACUACGUACAUGCGAGAUAGCUAUGUCCCGAUCGAGCCUGCAAUUAACGGCAACUCGACCGAUCAAUCUGCAAGUAGAGACAGUAAUCUCGAAUUUGGUUCAAAAGCAGGCAGCGAAUCCUGGAACGACCAAGUUACACGGUACUCCUAUGUAAGCUAGUACUAGUACAACUAGUAGCAUGCCACCGGUGGAUCACUCACCUGGGGAUACAAAACCGUUCUCCUUCGAUUAGAGUCGUCUGCAUUAUUGACAGUUUCGAUGGACCAGGCAGACAGAAGCAAAGCCUGGAUGCGCGCGGGAUCCACUUGUCCAGCAAAAGGGCACGAAUCGGGGAGGUCACAGGACUUAAACAUACGAUAGGCCACGCGAGCCAAAGGCGUGCCGUACUGUGCUGCCCCUGCCUGGCCUGUCGUGUGAUGUGACAGAAAAAAAUUAAAGGGAGCGGCGAACCUGCGUUUCAUGAUCAUUGAUAGAUGGAUGGGUGGAUCGAGCUAGUAUUAAGCUGGUUGUGGUGUGUGUGUGUGGAGGGGGGUCUGUCUUUGAAAAGUCGACGCUGCAUGCGGACGUUCAGUUUCAAGUGGCGUGCAAGAUGUUCCUAGUGAAAAUGUGAAAUCAUGGGGGAAAUAGGCGAAGUUUGCAGGGUUGAACGGCACACCGCGUUUGGCUGACGGCUCUAUGCGCGGAUAUGAUGUUUUCUUUUUAACGAAUAUUCUGAUAUUUUUCAAUACCAAAACCGUAUUCGGAGUUAGCUGGCGUCUGAAUUUUAAACAGAAGACUUAAAUCUCCGGACUCUUGAAUUAAGAUCUAAGUGUCAUCCCCACUCUCUCUUCUCCCGCAUGCUGUUGUUGGAUUAAGAUCCAAUGUUCAAACACGUCAGCUGAUCGCUAACUAAGAAACAAGCGACUUCUUAAUAGCAAACCGUUUUCUGAAUCCCCACAUUCGAUAAUAAAAUUCCACCGGGAACCUACCAUGCUGUAUGCAGAUAUCGACCUUCUUUUUUUGGAUUGUGAUAAGUGUAUUUUCAUAGUUUAAAUAUUGUUCACGGUGCAAAUUCCGCCCUUGCGUGGCGGGUUAUUGGACAUUCAACUGUGGAUACCGAGCUUAGCAAAUUUUUGUCGAACUCUUUUUGGAAUGGAAUGGAUUAAUACAAUUUGACUAAGAGUCAUCAUUUUUAUGGUUUAGGGUGGUGGCUGCACCCCAAAACCUACCAAGGAUCGAACCCCAGGUUUGACCCUCGGCGUGUCUCAUUUGAGCCGAAUUUCUUUUGGCAGUAGGAGAUGCAAUCCGUUCACGCUUCACACUGAAGCGUCAGUGACUUCGUCGAUCUCAAAACGUUUUCACGAUUCUGGUCAUCCGUGUGAGUGUGUGCGCACGGCGGUGUACGUCGUGUGUGAUCAUUGUUCCUAAAAUAAAGUACUUCCUUCGUCUAACAAAGGAUGUCUGAAUUUUGAUUAAAUUUGAAUGCAUCUAUACAUCAAGUCAUGUCUACAUACAUCAACAUUUUGACAAACUUGAGACAUCUUUUGCUGGACGGUGAAAGUAUAGGAGCCCGGGAAUAGCCGCAUCUUAUUACAAGCAAUUAAUAUUUCGACCCUGAACCAGUUUGAGCUUAACCCCAGUGGAUCGGAAUCGGGUUCACUGAGCGAGCGAGCGCUCCAUUACAGAUUUUUACAGGCACUGAGGCACCGUCUCUUCCUGCUGCCCCCCUCCGGGGAGCUAGCUGCGUGCUAUGGACCGCCCAUUCGUGGAACGGGCUGUACCCACCAAUACCUACGUACCUGCGCGCCUGCCAUGCCACCCCUCUGCCACGGGGGGCUGUCGGCUCCAAAGAAUCAUGCAAUAAUUACCAGCUUCUUCUAUCGGCGGCAUACAGAGGAGAGGAUUGAGCUUUUGAGCAUCUCGUGUGCAGAGAGAAUCUCUCUGCCCGUUCGCGCCAGGUGGAUGUAUUUACUUGCGCCAGGAGCAAACGAGCAACUCGUGACCGCCUACGCACGUUUCCCCGACUAGACAAGUCAAUUGGUGAAAAUUGGUGAAAUUGGCAGCUAGCUUAUUUAUCCCUUUAUCCAUUCGCACCCACCCCACCCCGGCCACCCUCCGCGCUGCGCAUGCAUGCAUGUCCUCGUGGGCUCUCGAGGACUUGAAGUACGUACGUCGCAUGCAUGCAGAUAAGACGGAGCUAGAGAGAAAGCCUCUUCUUUUCGCUCGUGGCCCGGCAUGUGCAUGCCAAUGGCAAUGCCAGCGUCCCAGUCAGCUACUCUCUCCGUUCCAAAUUCUUGCCUCAAAUUUAUCCAAAAAUAAAUAUAUUUAUUUUUUAAAAACGUUUAUAUACAUGUAAUAGUCCGACAAAAAUUAUGAAACGGAAGGAAUACUGACCAUAGCUAUGGUCAGUACAACUCCUAGUGACAAGUGCAAGCAGGGGAAGUUCAUACUCUAUGUGGGAGGUGCAAUGCAUCUCUCGCUCUAAAGACGUGGUACUCCUAGACUACAGGACUACCACGUACUGGAUUCAUCGAGAUGUGAUGGAACGGUGUACCAGGGUGCGUGGCAUGCAUGUAGACGCCGGGCCGAUCGAUGUAUGUCGAGAGCGGGAUAUGGACAACGAAAAAGGGUGUGGGCAGGGUAGGUGUUCGAUCAAAAUCCACGGACAGUUCCAAACUGAGGAGACCAUGGGGAAACUACUGGACAUCGGGGGUAUAGUGUUCACGUGACGUCAGAACUGGGGAGAGCUACACAACCUCAAGUCGUCGUCUUCUGGUAAGCAAGAGGACCCUUGUUUGGGAGCGCAAUGCAAGUGCAGAUGUUGUGCAGGCGCAGCAGAGACGUGACCCUUGCAGAAGAAAACGCGAAGAGCCGGGUAUAGUGGAUAUGUGGAUGCGUGAAUUAUCGUGGGCCGGGCCGCUUCAAAGCCUGGUAACGCGUGUCGUCGUGGCCUGGCCCAGAUUAUGCUGCUCAUCCGUCCAGCUCGCAAUACAUGAAGAGAAGUUCAAAAACCCGCUGUCCACUUUUGCAUUUAUCCAACGUUUCCUUGAUGAUUUGUCUCUCAUUCGUGAUGUUGUCCAUGCUGUGACACCGGAGCCUCCUCCUGGUGGUGGUCGCCUUGUCCCGCCCACCAACCGCUGGUCUCCUCCGUCGGCUGGUAUGUGUAAAAUUAAUGCGGAUGCUGGAGUUGCAAGGUCAGGUGCAGGUGGUUCUUGUGCUGCGGUCUGUCGCGAUGAAUGUGGAAGAUUCAUGAGAGCCUCUUCGAUUACAAUCGAGGGCAUGACCGACCCUACAAUACUUGAAGCAUUGGCAUGUAAUGAAGGCUUGUCUCUGGCCUUGGACCUUAACAUCUCAAAAGUUUGUGUUGUUUCGUACUGCUUAACGGUUAUCAAGAGUCUACAACAAGAUGAUCUUUGCUAUUAUAGUGCGAUCAUUAAGGAUAUUGUGGCAAGGAAGGAUCAGUUCCGUGAUGCUGUUUUCAGACGUGAGAAGAGAACUCUUUAUAGAGAUGCUCAUAAUCUAGUUAGAGCGGAGUUACCGCUUUCUGUUGGCCAUCAUAUUUGGCUUUUAAGUACCCCAUGCAUUACUUGUAUUCCUGUUCAAGUUGGUGUUGAAUAAAGCUGGCCUUUCCCCUAAAAAUAAAAUAUCCGUCCAGCAGAACUGAAUCCCCAAUAGCGCGGUUACAAGACAAGAAUGAUUAUGUAAUUAUGUUCCUUGUUAUCGUUUCACUUUGCACCACAGAAAGAGUGCUCUGUUUGGCUCCACCAAGGCAAAAGGAAAGAGAAACAGGAACCGAGGAGUGUCUCAUUGUCAAUUACUAAUUCAGCCAACGAACCCAUAAAACAUGUACCGACGCAAAUGCAAUUCAUCAGAAGUGUUCUUCAAGGAAGAACACAGACAGGGUAUCGGACUACCGGUGACUAUGUUUGGAUAUCUUACAUGCUCAGAAUGCUGCGGGCGAGUUAACUGGGAAAUAAUUGAAGAUGAAGAAAGGACACAGCAAGUUACAUAAGCGGCAACAGAUUUUGCUAGAGUGGCACAGCAGUGGCAGGUGCUGGAACAUGCACCUCAAAUACAAUCAGGAACUCGAACUGUUUAUAGCUUUGGACACUUUCUUCCAUCGCAAAACACUUCGAGUUUGUUCUUAUCAAGCAAAUGGUUUUCGAUUAGGCCCAGAUAUGACAUGGUGUUAUUACAUGCAUAACAGCGCUGGCUUGUCAAGCACCACUGGCAUACAGGCGAGUCCACUCCUUCGCUGCAAAGCAAAAAAAAAAUUGACAUGUUAGGUACAAAAAGCAAUGAAAAGUGGAGCAAAAUGACAUGCUAGUGUAUCAAAGUGCAGUGUUAGCGUGCGGCUUUGUUGGCUGAAUUUUCAGUUACCUGUCUCGACAGCUUCAGCUUCAUUGGAUUUCCAGUGUUUUGCCACGUUUUCUGAGAGCGGAUCAUCUGGAUUCGGAGCGCUCAGCAGUGCCUGAAUGCUGCAGACCAAACAUUGUAAAGAGGCAAAAAAAAAAGAGUAUACAAUAGUGGAUACAAGAAGCAACCCUCUGGAAAUACGAUAAUAUGAUACGAUCAUGAACUAUAAUGAAACUAUUUGGCCAAACAUGCCACGGAAGACAGAAGAGGUUGCUACCUCAAAAGAACAGUACGUAUCUGAAGAGCUGGGCUCCAUUUGUCCUUCAGGAUAUCGAGGCAUAUCCUACCAAGCUGCAGUGCAAGUCAAUCCGAAAUGAGAAACUGUUAUCGAAUGAAGUUCCAUUGAGAAUAUCAGUUCCCUACCUUGUCAAUGUUGGGAUGGUAUAUUUUUGUGAGAAACCUAACCUGCGUCAGGAAUAACCAAAGAGUGAUGUCCAUCAGAAAGAAUCACAACAGAGACAACAUACAGAAAAGUCAAAUAGAAUUGUGUAACUACUUUGGUUAGACGACAGUGUCACACUAAAACUAAAACAACCAUGUUGAUAUCCGUAAGAGUAAAACAGUCCAAGGACAGGAGUUGAGAACAAAAUAUUCAGCUACCUCUUAUUUAACAUGAUGGAAAUUACUACUCCCUCCGAUCCAUAUUAAUUGUCGAAAUAUUACAUGUAUCUAGACAAUUUUUUAGCCAUAGAUACAUCCAUAUUUGGGCAAAUUUGAGACAAUUAAUAUGGAUCGGAGGGAGUAUUAGUCUGAGUCUCAGAUGAUAUAUCACAAUGUCAGUACACUCCAAAUAUAGCAUUGCCAAUUAAGUAAAGUAAAGUACGGAACUGUGCAAAGGAGAUUAGUUAAGUGAACGGAGAGAGAAAUCUAGUAUGGAUACGAAAAGUAUUAACACAAUACUAAACAUGGGCAUUCAGUAUUCCUGAUCACAAAGAUGGUAUGCAAAUCUAUUAAUGGUACAUAUCAACAACAAACAUGGGCGCUGCCCAAAAUAAGAUGUCACAAUAAAUUGCUGGUUUCGGUUAACCACAGGCAUAAUUAAACGUCCAUCCCACUGUCGCACCAUAGCAUGAUAAAAUCAUUGCGAAGAUCGCUCUGCCAGAUUUUGAACUCAAAUUUCAGUUACAACUUACAACUAGGAAAUGAACCAAAUUCCACAUCAAGGAGCCUACCGGGACAAGAAAAUCCAUCACAAUAUGUGUCAAACUAAUAACUUCUUAAACAACCAUCCACUAAUACUUGAUCAAAAAAUUACUUUUGGAGCAGCCAUCGGAUAUUCCUCAGGUAAGAAAAGUUCAAGCUUGAAAACUCCACCUGUCCAACACAUAUUAGAAGAAAUAUCAGGAGGACCAGACACAGACAACUAAACAAAAUAAUGUUUCACCCAAUUAAAAAUGUCAUAAGCAAAUACAGUAUACAAAGAUAAGUAAACCAAGCUUAAAUAAAUAAGAUAACAUAGUGACAAAUGUACUGUCUAACAAUAGGAAAACAGGUCGUUCUGUGUACCAUUUAUCAUAUACAUGCACCGCAUUUCAUUACUCCAUGUUGCAUGGAAACAUGGUAGAUAGUUCCUUGUGCCGUAUAUCAGUAAACUUCAGUAAUCGCAAAGGUUAAGGAAACCCAAGACAUUCAAUUCCCAUAGGUUACUGAUAUAUGGUACAGUUGUAGAUCUAGCAUGUUAAGGAAACUACAAACUUGUGCCCCAUAUCAUAUCUAAACUAAUAGCAGGUAUAACUGUUGAAGUAUAAGGUGAAUUGCCCUCAUUUCUCCAUCAGCUUAGGCUUUUAGGGGCACUGGUUCGGCCCAUAUGCAACUCUCCAUGGUAUCCGAGCCAAGAGGUCCCGAGUUCAAGCUCAAUAUAAUAAAAAGGCACUUUUGAUCCAUGAGGGGGAGUGUUGAAGUACGAAAUGAAUUGCACUCGUUUCCCCAUCAGCUUAGACUUUUGGGUGAACUGGUUCGGCACAAGCAACUCUACAAAAGGCAGUCUUCCUAUGUGGAAUAACUUCUACAAAUAAAAAACCAGGUUCACUAGAGCUUAAGAUAACCGAUGAAAUGGACUUGUCAAGCUAUAUUUUGUGAUGGAUUCAACAAAGCAGAAUCUCAAAGUAUAGAAUCCAAAAGGCACAGAAGAGUACAAUUACCACUGGAACAGCUGGGUACAAGAUGGUCGGAUUGCUGGUCUAGCAAACAUAAGUUUAGAAGUGUAUAGUUCCGGCAGCACUAGAACAACACCUUUAUGUGACCAUCCUGAUAUGAUCAUCCAUCUGUGAUGUUUUACUACAUAUUUGCAGCAUUUUACAAACAAAAAGAGCCAUAGAUACGAAAAUGGGGACGCGGUGACCACAGUUACAGUCCUAAAUUGCCACAGAACUACGCAUUCGUGCUCCAAAGUAUUACAGGGUUAUCGGCAUACGAAACAUUCCAACAGAAAUAAAAUGAAAAGGAGGUUUUACCUUCAUAAGGAGACUGCGCCGGACCAAGGACCAUGACAUUGAAGUAGCGCAUGUUCUCCUCCGACGGCGACGCGCUAAUCCCCGGCGCUGCACGCACCCCCCCAACACACGAAUCAGCACAAACAUCCGAGGCUCGAACGCGGACAACACAACAGGAGCAUCGAAUUCUAGGAAAACGAACCUGGUUCGCUGAGCAGCCGCUGCGUCUCCUGCAGCAGAUCCAAAUUCCGAACAGAUUAGGCACCACGCACAAGGAAUAACCAGACGAUAAGGUUAUCAUAUCGCGUUAGAGUCUCAGAAACGGCUGUAGAUCUGGGGGGGUGAGGGGCGAUCGGAUCGCGGGGUAGGGCGCGCGCACCUUGAUGAUCCGGCGCGGGAGGUUGCUGUUGGCCAUGGAGUCCGGCCGGGGCUGGAGCGAGAGCCUAGAGGGGAGGGGGGGAGGGACCGCCUCGAGCUUCGCGCGGCGACGGAGGAGAAGACAGCGCGAGAGAGGUCAAAGGAGUCGUCGAUCUGUCGGGGAGGGCGAGCCGGGGGAGGAGGCGACGAACGAACAGAAAUGGGUCAGGGUCCGAUACUGUGUACCACGUAUUUAUAAACUCCACGCUACAGCCGCUGCUGCUGAUAUUUUCCUUUUCCUCUUGAGCUGGUGUUUUCGUUUUAUACUCUACCGACCUGUUUGUUUGUCCUUCUAUUUCAGUUUUUUUGCAUCUGGCAAUCUUAAAAGCAUCUUUUCUGUUUACACGUGAAGCUGAGAGGCACCUCCGAACAUGCUAAACACUGUUUACACAUGAAGCUGAGAAGCACCUUCGGACGUGCUAAACAGAAAAAGUGCUUUUGAGAUUGCUAAAAGUACCAAAAACUGAAACAGAAGUCCAAACAAAUAGGCCCAGAGUCUGCUGGAUUGUGAAUUUGAAUACGCACACGGCGAAAUCAAAAUACGAAGUCAUGGCCACUAUGUUUAAAAUAAAAUUCGUGUACUUGGACAAAACAGAAGUUGUUCGGUGAAUAAAAAAACCCUAGAAAUGAUUUUCCGACGUAAUAAACGGUAUAAUAGUACUACUAGUAGUACGAGGGCUGCUGCAGCGGAGAUUAAAAAAAAACGGUGUUCGUUUUAGGUGAGCCAGGGAGAGCAUCUCUCCACGCGAAGGGAGCACACAAUUUAUGCAUGUGCAGAGAGAGAGAGCACGGAGAAGAACAACCUUUGGGUUUGCCUAAUUGCAACGGCCAACUUGUGACUUUGUGUUGUGCGCGCUCGUCGUGGAAGGAUCUCAGGCGAAAAGGAAGGUGGGGGAAAGCUCGAUUAUUCUCCGCAGCUUCAAUCCCACGCUAAGCCGCCUGGUCGAAAAGGUUUGGCUGGCCAAACCGGUUUUGCAUGGUACUCCGUAACAUGUUUUUCAAGUUUUUUAGAACUUUGGAGGAACUCGAAACAAAUUGAGAGCAUACGCUUUCUAAGAGUUGAAAAGUAUUAUUUUCGAAGCACGGGCAGUCGGGCACGGGCAUCAGAGCAUCUCCGUUGCCAGUCGCUCGAAGCGAAGAGAAAUCACGCACUUCCUCUGCUACCGAAGCGAAGGCAGGAACAAGAACAACAGCGACGAGACACAGCCAGAAAUUCGGCAUAGUAUUUGCUCAGGGCUAGAUUCCACUGUAUUCGCUGUAAUCUGGUAAAGCAUGUCGCAUGUGCCCAGACUACAGGAGGAUUUCAAGACAAGUAUCCAGUCCUGUCUUAUUUACAACAGAUAGCGUGCAAAACUAUGCUCAAGAAUCAAGAUAGAUAAAUAACACUGGAUUUCCCCAGUACUUGCUACUUCACCGAACUACGGAGUACAACUGGUAAAGAAUAGUUUCACAAGUCGGAUCCUGAGAUCACAAUGAAAGAGAAGAUACAACAGGGAGUAUUAAAUCUGCACAUGAUCACAAGGAAAUCCAGAUGCACAUGAAUCCAGACAAUAGGAAGAACAGGGAACAGUUUGACAUAUUUUUUCUAAUAAAACAGAAGGUCAGAGUUGCAUGCCUACAUUGUCAACAAAAUAAUAGAUGAAUUGCACGAACAUACCUCAACGACUCAAUGUCAACAUGGAUUUACACUAACAAUUUUUAGUCUUUGACCUUUCAUACUCUUCAGAAUUAAUUAUUACCAGACUAAAAACUACAAUGCACCUAAGAACACGAGCUUUCGCUUCAGAAUAUCCCAAGGAUGGUGGGGGCAGGUGGAGCACGCCAUCAUUGGAGAGCAAGAGCAACGCCAUGUCAUUAACUGAUCAUCUUCAAAUGAUAAUCUGUAGAAGAGACAAUGGACAAGAGUCAAUUGAUCGCUUCACCAAACAGUAACAUUACAAAUUUGCUAUACAGGCUCCAAACAAACUGAUUUUCUAUCAGUCUACGCUUAAACAUAGCAGUUAACAGGGGCAAAGCUUAACACAGGCCCAUCAGCAAUCAUGCAGAGAACAAGGCAAGGCAGAUCAUCCAUGGGAAUCACACAACAAUCCACAAGGAAGCAUGCAUUACAUUCUUUGGAAAGCCAAUCAAGAGAAAUCUGGGUUCAGCGAUCGGAAAGAUUUACAAUGGAUAAGAUAUGUCAAAAUUUCAGUACUGGAAACUUCAGUUACAAAGCAAUUUGAUAAAUCUUACAUGCCAAGACAAGUAUAGAAGAUAUAUCUUUAUAUAAUAAUACUGACUCGUAAUUGUUAGGCUUACAGCAAAAAAAAGGUUAAGUUUCAUUAAACAAGCUUAUUUAUCGGUCUCUGAGGAGCUGGGUUACCUGUAGAUAAAUGGGACCAGAAACUAAGAGGUUACCUGUUGACUCAAGCUUAUGCUUAUUUUGGCGAUACACGUACUCUUAGGCUGGACAUAAUUCACCCUAACGAUUCUCACUAAGACAUGAGAAAGGAAUUCUAGUACGGAAAGGAAGUGAAAACCAGCGCAUGUGCAUCCAAGUGACUCCUAGUGAAACAGCACAGAGAGUGUCCCAGAUCGAUUUUAACUCUGAGUCACCAAGUGGUUCGUCGGUAUCAAUUUGAUCCUAACAGAUUCCAGGCAAUACCAUCAUAUGUCACCCAGUCAUGAUUUCCAGGAAAAGAAUAUAAGUAUUUUCAUCAUACAGACAGAAUUGAAGAAAAACUAUUAUUAGACCAUACAUUAUGGUCUUUCAUUUGUCAUGACAAAAAUGUACUCCCUCCGAUCCAUAAAAGGUGACGCCCAUUUUGUACUAAGUUAGCACAAAUUUUGUACUAGGUGGGCGACACAUUUUAUGGAUCGGAGGGAGUAAUAAGAAACACUAAAAGCUCAAGAUAGAAACUAUGAUUAGUUAGUUCAAUCUUUUAAUAACACCUAUGACAUAACAGAGCUGCACAAUUAUAAUUCUGUAAAUUUUAUCACACCCAAAAACCCAGAGAACCAAACGAUAAGAUACAUAAGUACUUAAAUCUACAAUCAUAACGAGAUGGUCAACAUAUCUCAUCAAUGCACAAAAUUAAAUAGAAAAACACACGACGAAAACAUCCACCAAACAUUAUCUACUGAAGACACAAAAUAUAAAUAGAAUCUCACAAAGCCUACACCAGGAUAGAUCUUAUAUGUGAAUAUCAAUGCUCAACAGGACCGAAAGCCUUAUUUAUGAAGGUUAUCGCACAUUUGGGCUAAGGCCAUUGUAACAUAAAAUAGUCCAAAAUGCACAACAUAUGGGGUGGUCGGACUUCGGCAACGAAACUUCAGACAUACUCGCUAGAUUUUCCGAAGCAACAGUAUCUAAACUUUUUUGUUGCUAAUCCUCCGCAGCAACUCGAGCCAAUUGUUUACCAAGAUCCUUAUCGAGAUUAGCUAGAUUAUUAAACCUUGACUGUAGAUAAACGGACAUGUAUGUAACAUAUUGCUCAGAACAAUCAAGUCGGGCUCACCCAAGCUUGUUUACACCCAUAUGAAGGAAAGGCUUAUUGAAUUGCAUUGUCAGGAAAUCAGCACUUCCCCAAACAAACUGAAAGUACCUUUAUUCCACAACCUAUAAACAUCAAUGGAUAUACUCAGAACACAACAGCUUACAUGUGUGGACCUUCCCACCAUUAAGGCCAAACAUAGUAACAAUAAGUUCCACUUAUUAAAAUGUCAUUGUAUACAAGAAUGUCAGAUUAAAUUAUGCCUCUACACAAGCAUACCAAUCCUGUCACUAUCACUGAAAGUCUGAAACAUUAACUAACAGCCAACAUCAUGCCACAUAACUUGUAAUUUUAGCACAUCAACAUUAGCAUUACAGAAACAAUAGUAGCCACAGAUCACAUAAACGAACAAAAACAAUCUACAGCAAUGUUCUAAACUGAAAUGCUAAAACAUACUUUACCUAAAACCCUCGUCCGCAUCAGAGGUAAUUGGAGUUGGAAAGGAAAGGCAGCGCAGCAACGGAUGAAAUCAGCUCCACUCCACCAGCACCAUUGGAUGCAGCCCCUCCGCUCUUCUUCGUGCGCUUCACCCUUGCGAGCUUCACGUGCGCAUCGACGAAGUUCUCCAUGCGCUUCACCUCCAGCUGCUUCAGGAAGUCAAUUCGCUCGCGUUCCAUCUCUAGCGAAUGCUUUUGUUUCGCACUCUCCACGCGCUCAUACAUCUCUGCAAAAGCCUCAAUUGCCCUCGCCAGCUCGCUGACACCACUAUCCCCAUCACCGCCAGCCUCGCGACGAAAGGGACGCUUGUUGCUACCGCCGGAGCGCGCCGACGAGACAGAACGCGACGGUGACCUCCGCAAGUUGUCAUGGUGGUUGUUGUUGUUGUUACCACCAGGAUGAUCACCAGAGUCCUCCGAAUCAGACACCGCUGCAGCGGCGGCAGCGGCUUCCUGCUGGAUGAACGCAGCGGCAGGGAGCAGCGCCCCGCGGCGGUAGCUGGGGAGGGGCAGAGCCAUGGGCGGGGGCGGGGACGGCGAGGAAGAAGGCGACGGGUACUUCCUCGCGGCGGUAGAAGAAGGAUGGACGGGCAGGGCGAGGUGCGGGGCCAUCGCCGGCGAGGGCCGCUUGUUGGCGGCGGAGUUGAGGGUGGGGCCGACGAGUCGGUCGAGCUCGUCGAAGAAGCUCCAGCCCGACGGCGCGCCGCGGACGCGCUCGGCCUUGUACUUCUUCUUGAGGGUGUCGACGCGGUUCUUGCACUGCACGUCGGUGCGCGGCGGGCGGCGGCGCGCGGCGGCCCCGCGGCGCGAGUUGACGGCGUUGGCCACCUCCUGCCACUGCUUCUGGCGCAGGUUGCCGCGGUUGAGCUCCACGUAGCGGCUGCCCCACGCGUCCACCAGCGCCGCCGUCUCGCCCUCGCUCCAGCAGUCCUCCCGGUAGGGCAGGUUAGGGUUGGGCGGCGGCAGCCUCCCAAACCCUCCCCCUCCUCCUCCUCCCCCUCCUCCCGCCGCCGCCGCAGCAGCAGCCGCAGCCAUCUCCCUCACCUCCAUCGGAACCAGAUCUCGCAGGAGCAAACCCUAACCCUAGCUAGCCCGCCCGCCGAGAGAAGAGGACCGAGCGAGCCUCGGGGAAGUCGCGCGUGACGGUGGGCUAUGUGAGCGGUGGGGGGUUCGGGGUUGGAAUAAAAGGACACGGCGAGGGAAGGGGGGAGGUGGGGUCGCCGGCCGCGAGGGGUCCGGGUUCCGUCCGUCACGCACGCGGCACGUGACGCGUGACCGGCGAGGGGGGGGCGGCAUCGGCAUGGCAUAUCUCGCUCGCUCUCGUGUGUCGUGGGUGACCGGAUUCGGAUCGGAGACGUGCCGCCGUUGGAUUGCGUUUGACCGGGUAACCGGCGAUUACUUUCGGGUUUCGGAGGGCGGGUGGGAUAAUGACAGCCAGCCAGGCACAGGCAAAGCAGAGCGCGGCGACAGGCGACAGCCGGAGACCGGACGGAAUACGGUGGCUGGCGCGGGGGUGGGAAAUUACCGCGUUGCCCCUACCCCGGGGAGCAGGCCGGGGCGGCACGCGGCAGGGGCAAGGCGGGGAUUUCGCGUGGGGCGGCGCGGUGUCAGGGGGUGAGCUGGUCGCCGUUGGUCGGUUUGCGUUUCGGGGCCGCCGAAAGAGGGGAGAGGAGAGAGAGAGAAACGCGCCGAGGAUGAUGGGGAAGGGAGAGGAGACUCGCGAACCGAAGACACCGCUGCUCCUCGCUCUGUACUCCAGUCUAGGCUUCUAGCUAGACUCGGCGCGGUGGAGUGGGUGGGUGAAGAGACUGAGGCGCGGGGCCCGCGUGCAAGCAGGCAGGGCGGGCAAUUAUUGUCGCCUCUGGUGCCGUCGCUCGGUACAGAGGACGGACGGACGGACGGCGUGGGCAAAAUUUAAUCGGCGUGCAGCAGGUGCCGGCUGCCGCCUGCAGGCGCCGGUCCUUCGGAUUGAUCGGUGGAUGGAUGCACUCGCCAAUGGCAAUUCAUCCAUCAAACAUCAUUCGUUACUGUAUAUUUUGUGGCAAAUCAAGAUUAGAGGUUCAUCAUCCGUUUACCGUUUUGGUUUGUCCCCUGGCGUCAUCAUCACCGUCUGGGCUUUGGAACUGACAAUAUGGUUCUUUCGGUGAAAUUCAGGUGAAAGUAAAACUCCACCGGUAGAUAGCAGCGGCCAUGGUGCCGUCGUGGGAACAGAGCAGUACGUACGUUACGGGCUCGCGUCAAAUCCUCGACGGAACCGUGCCCGCUGCACCGGUGGGUGAACAGAACACCAUAAAUCCCUCGCGGCCGUGGAGAGAAGUCAGGGGAACCGCGUGUACGUACGUGGUCCUCUCCUGCUAGCUAUAGCUAGGCUGCCCCGUGCGACCGGCGGCGAGGAAACGGCACGCUCGGGAGCCGUCAACAUUGAAUCGGAGGGCCGGGCGGCCGCGAUAGCGUAGCGACCAGCGAGAUACUCAGUCAGUACGGGCUACUUCGGGCUGUCACGCACGCACCGAGCCGGACGGCCGGGCCGACGCGUCGGGCUUGGGAACCACCGGCGCCGCAGGGGCGGGCUCGGACCGCGUCCAACGCCGCAGGCUUUGCAAAGCUUGCGUUGCGUGUACCCCACGCUACCACGCGGGUCCCCUCCACCAAUCAAUUCCAGGCCGGACGGACGGCCGGUACCGUGUACCGACGCGUCGCCCGCCGGAUCUCCGUGGCGUUUUCCUUUGCCUUUAGUUGUGUACCCGCCCCGCUUCACGCCGGCCUUGUGCGGCAGUUGUGUACACACACGCACGCACUUGUACUACUACUGGUGGCCUUGGACUUUGCUGGUUGCUGGUGCGCACCCAGCUUUUUGCGAACGGUUCCGGGAAACGCCGGCGGAAACUUGUGCGGCGGGUCGGUCGGUUGCCGGGGAAGGAAGGAUUCUUCACACAAGCAACGUGAGAUCUGACCAAGGGGAGCAGCAGCCAGCCAGCACGAGCAGCAGUUCGGCGCUGGAGCUACGCGCGAGCUGGGGCAGGAGCUACACGCCAUGUACGUUGCGUCCCCGGGCCGGUUUGAUUUACGACCGGAAGAGCCGCAGCGUUUCCGGCGCGAUGACCGGACAAAUUAGCCGGCUUGGCCGAUGGCUAUACUAUAUCGGAUUGGACAUAUGGAGUGAUAGUGCUCCCGACAGGUAGGAGACGGACGGACGAGAGCGAGUAAACUGCUGCCUGCGACUCUGCGAGUCCUGCCGUGCACGGCUCCAUGGACGGACCGCACGUCCAUGGCCUGUGUAGCUCCGACCGCACCGGACGCAGGCAAGCGGGACGUGCUGUUCAUCCUGCAGACGGGACUGACCCAAGUUAUUGGAGACGCGUCGGCAUUGAAGCCUUUUCCAUUCUCAGGAGCAUGACGUAAUCACGGGAUCACGCACGGCGUGGGCAAAAGAUUACCAGCCGCGCCGCGCGUGCCUGACUGCCUGUGCAGCUGUGCUAUUUUGAGUGCAGAAUACAGUUCUUCAGAACCGCGCCUGUUUUUUGAGGCUAACUGAACAUGCAGUUCCAUACAAUUUCAAAACUCUACGUAUAAUACGGAAGGGUAAAAGAUACUGAGGCGGUCGAGACCACUGUCGCGACACGCGAAGCCUGAAAUCGUAGCGGAUUUACUUUUUCUUUCUCUCGGGGCAACGUCCAGCAACAGCAAGUGACUGCUUGCCGGUUCAUCUGGCCGGACUGAAGGUGCAGAACUAUCUGCUUCCAUGACCAUGUCAUCUUACUGAACUGAUGUUGAUGUUGAUCGAACGGAAACUUGGUAUUAGUGCAAUUUGCAUUUGGUAGACGGGGGGUGGGAUGAAGAAGCUGCAGCGCAUUGGUCAGGGCAGCAGAUGGAAAACGCUGGAGACGGAGGUCAAAGAAGACGCGCGUAAAGGAACCGGUCAGAACAGUGACUUCCUUACUGGAUUUAGGUGACAGGCUGAAAAUUGUUUAUACUUUGGCACGUUGCCUGGGACACAGCAGUGGACAAGUUCGGUUCGGAGAAUUCUAUCCUCCAGUCAUGUUCCUUCUCGGUGAUUAACUAUCAGCUCAUCUGCCAAUCACAUGUUCUGUGGUGACAGCAGCCAGCAAAAAUAACCGAACGGAUUAGUGAUCGCCUAGAUUAUGUAGCUCAAUUUGCAUGCGUAGUUUCAAACGGUAUAAAACGAUGCCUUCGAAGAAAUGGGAGUAGUAAAAAACAUGUGGACUCGAUUUGGGCCGGGCCGCGAUAUCUUCGGUUCUCCACCCUCUUACGCGCAGCGUUUCUUCUCAGUGUCUGCUCAUCACUUGCGUUAGCUUGUAUUGUUUGCCUUCGCUUAAUAUUAGUGCCAUGUUAUCAUGGCUCCAUCGCCCAGUCGAACGCCGGCUAUCAGUUCAAAUUAUGGAUAGUCUAUUGGCUUUGAAUAAUGCGUGUCCUUGCUCUGAUUCCGUUGAGUGUCAUUCCAAGAGUAGGUAUCUAUCAGAAGAAUUUUCAGCAAAUGUCAGUGCUGCUUGAAGUCAACGAGUACUAAUCACAACAUGUGUGAACAUUUGCCAUCCUCCUGCGGUGCACUCUGACCUGCAUUGGAGAGCUGUAUUGCAGCCUGAAGGUCUUCUUCUCUAUUCUACUUCUACAUAUCUACCCACGUGUAUAUGCAGUAUCCUCCGAUGGUUUAGCCCAUGGGCAAUGCAGUUGUCUGCUUCAAUUCUUGGUGUUUCAGAACUAGUAGUACUACUAGAUAUGAUCAGUAUGCUGGGGACAGGACAGUAUGAAUGUACGAUAGAUAAGGUCCUAGAACAUGGGCCACAGGUUAUGCAGAUCGCAGACACGAGUGUUUGGCUGGAACUGAUCUCCGAAUGCGAGACUCCGAGAAACGUUGAUGCCGCUUUCUGUCGAUCACCUUGAGCCAUUGUCCGUCUGCUGGCCUGGCAGGGAAAGUCUACGGAAUGCCAUCUCGAAAGCCAUGGAAAUUCUGUUUUGCCUGACAGAACUCUGGCGUACAUGAGCAACAGCGACCGGAGCGUGGUUUGCCUGCGUGCUUGACUGUAUGGUCACGACGAACACGAGGUGGCGACCAUCCGCCGCGUUAUCCAGGACUGCACCCGUCAGAGAAGGAUCCUUCACUUUUUGGGAAUCCAAUCACUUCGGGAUCCAUCAGAGCAGAAGACACGGCCAUUUCGCCGGCGGCUUUCCCCAUACAGUGCACAUCUCGUGAACUUCCGUCCAUAUUUUCUGGCCAAAUUUGCAAAGGAUUUGUGCUUUUCAGAGUGCAGCAAACGUAGCAAUACCAGGAAACUACGGAGUAGAAUAGGAAGGAACGUACGCCUGUUUGUUCGGGCGGCAAAGUCAGAGCGACACUCUCUCUACUUUGUUUGUUCGUCAGGCCAGGACGCCCGCCAAACCCGACAUGGAUAACUCCAUUAUUGACGAUGGAAAGUAGAAAUCUGACCCCGGGGGCACUAGCAGACGACACUAUCCACAUUGUCUUCACACACCGAGAAUAUGACAAAAUAACAUGCAUUCUUAAUUCACCUAUCGUCCCCAGUACACACCAUCAGAAAACAUCUUCGAUCUUCUAAGGCGUGGAUGCAUUAGGGGUGCGUAUAAAAAUAAUCAUACUCCUUCCGAUACAUAAAAAGUUUCCCACAUUUAGUACAAAAUAUGUACUCCCUCCGUCGAACAAAGGAUGUUUCAACUUUGAUUAAAUUUGAAUGCAUCUAUACACUAAGUCAUGUCUAGAUACAUUUAAAUUUUGACAAACUUGAGACAUCUUUUGUUGGACGGAGGGAGUACUAAUUUUAGUACAAAAUGUGUGACACUUUUUAUGAAUGGGGGGAGUAUCUCCUAGACUCUUUUGAUUCAAAUGAGUUAAUCCUUCAGAAUUUUUUCUAUGUAGGCUUAUUUCAUUCGUAGGAUUAGAUUUUAGUGGAAAUUUGCCUAUGGUUCACUUUGCACUGCAGUGAUGCAAACCAGAUUCCGCGAAAACCCACUUCUAGUUCAUUUUUCAAAUCUUCAAUUCAAAUUUUGAGCAAAAAUUUGGAUAAAAGACUUGAGAAUUGAACUAAAAGUUGACCAUCAAUGGGAUCCCGUUUGCAUCUCUACUGCUCUCAAUUCCAAAGUAAAUUUUCCAUCUAAAUCUAAUCACUUGAAAAAAUUCCUUUGUUUCCAUGAUAACUAUACCAAUGCACGUAAUGUUUUUCUCUGUUUUUCCUCUAAUGCUAGAUUGAGUCUGUUUUUCCUUUAAUGUUUUUCCAACUCGAUUAGUUUAUUCAGGUGGUUUCUUCCUGUAGAAAACAACAUAUCAUGACAUUUCAAUCUUGUGUUUGCUAUUUCAGGGCUCAUUCACUCUACAUGCGUUUUAGAUGAUUUUUCUACAAGAUUUCAACUCUUACACCUUGUUUGGCACAUGUGGGUUUCUUACGUUUUCUAUUUCUACUCUACAAUCUUAAAAUCAUGUUCUCCUUCUGACCUUUGUUCUCAAAUUUAUCUAAAUACGGAUGUAUCUAUGUUUAAAAAAUGUCUAUAUAUAUUUAUAAUAUUUCAGUAACUAAUAUGAAUCGGAGCAACUAACUCGAACGAGCCCUCGGUGUUUGAAUAUUUAAAUACUCCUGAAUGCAAGUAUAGUUCUGCACUCCUACUGCAGCUUGCUACCACGAAACUAAACAUUUCUCUUUCUGCAGCCCCCGACUCGAUCUAGCCGCAGUCCAUGUCGUUCUUUUCGCCCUGGCGUGUGCAAGAGUCGAACCCAUAGUGUGAACAAUUGAGUUAGGCACGAGCCGGAGAGGAGGAGAAAGGACAAAUUAUUGCUCAGAUUAAUCAUCACCUCGAUCGUUGCGGCGCAAUACCGUUAUAUAACGACGGAAUACGGGCCCACACGUCAGUGUAAAGCGAGCUGCUUGCCGCUUUCUCCCUCUUGCGUGACGCCGUCGCCGUCCAGAGCCAUCUGGCCACCGGGCUCCCAGCCCCCCACAGAUGUGCCCCCUGCAUGCGCGCCAUGUAUCAGCCUCUGAUACGUCAGGCCAGGAACCAUCCUCAGCCGUCAGUUCGUCCAUCUCGACGGCUGCGAUCGCGCUGCCGCCACUUAUAAAUAGCACCGAUGCACGCGCGAGAAAGUCCGUUUUACCUUGCUGGGGGGGGGGGGUUUUACUUACAUGAGCGCGGGAAUGGAGGCGGAGCUGGAGGCGGCUCAGCGGCGCUUCCGGCUCUGGUUCCGCGGGCUGCGUUCCCUGCGGCGGGACCUCCGGUCGGCCCGCUGGGCCGGCGACGACCCGGCCCAGCUGGGGAAGCUGGCGGGCGGCUUCGUGGCCCACUUCUCCGACUACUGCGCCGCGCGGGCCGAGCUGGACCCGGUCCUGCUGCUGUCGGCGCCCUGGGCGAGCCCCGCGGAGCGUGGCGCCGCCUACUGGCUGGCCGGGUGGCGGCCGACCACGGUGGUCCACCUGCUGUACACCGAGUCCAGCCGCCGGUUCGAGGCGCAGCUCCCUGACCUGCUCCUGGGCGUGCGGUCGGGCAACCUGGGCGACCUCAGCCCGGCCCAGCUGGCCCAGAUCGACGAGCUCCAGCGCCGCGCCGUCGCCGAGGAAGACGCGCUCUCAAGGGAGAUGGCGCGGCUGCAGGAGGGCCACGGCGUCGUUGGCGGAGACGGGGAUCUGGACGUGGAGGGGAUCGUGAGGCGCGCCGGGGCCGUGGUGGCAGGGGCCGACGCGCUGCGGCUGCGCACCUUGAAGCGCGCCGUGGAGAUCCUCGAGCCGGCGCAGGCCGCCGAGCUGCUCGUCGCCAUGGCCGACAUGGAGAUCGGCUUCCGGGAGUUCGGGCUAAAGCACGGCGACGGCGGUGGCGAGCCGAGCCGCGGCGCGUAGGCAUAGGCGUGGCGCGGUCCAGAGAGCAGAUCCUCAUCCGCAUCGGCGGCUCGGCCCAGUUUUUUUCUUCCAAGUGUUUGCGCUGGUUUGACUGGGACAGAAAGACUGCUCACUGUUGUAAUCUUGUUGCCGUGACGAUUGUCUUUGCCGAACUGUCUCGCGGUGGGUGCUGCGUCGUAGCUGGACCGUGUGCGUGUGCGUGUGCGUGCGCGUGCGCCUGCUGGGAUGUCGUGUGAGAAAGCAAUAAAAUGCAAGGAAUGCAUGCUUGGUUUCGUUGAGAAGUCAUAUUUUGUUUUCGAGCAAGCGGUUUUUUUAACAUCUUUUCCGAUAAAUUGGCUGUUUGUCUGUUCACUACAGAAGACCCGUCCUUUUAAAAACGGUUUUGCUAUUAAUAAAUCCAUGUUUUAGUUAGAGUAGUCAUAGGAUUUUAAUCCAAUGAUAGCAAGUGAGAGAUGAGAGAACGAGGAUGACUCUCAGAUCUCCAGCAGUUAUGAAACGUCGACUGAUAUUUAAGGUUCAUUUUUUAAAAACUUGCGACUUAGAAAUAGCCAUACCCAUUUAAAAAACGUGUUAAAUCUUAUUAAAAUAAGAUUCUGAUCGAUAACUUAUUUUUAAUAGGUAUUGCUACGGAAAAGUUGUUUUUCUAGUUAAAGAUAAGUUGAAACACCAACUGUCAUAUCUUGAUCCAACGGCGGCACAUUGAAGAUGGGGUGUAGCUGCUAGCUUCGGCAUUGAAGAUGGCGUCAUGGUAGGGAGAAGCUAUCAAGUUAUCCGAGAUAGAGGAGGCACUGAUGGAACACAUCCGCUUGCUAGGCUUGUAAUCGGACAAAUAAUUCAAACAGCUUUGCUAUUCAUAAGACAAUUGAGAAAUAAUUAUUUUCAAGCCGACGCUAACAAUCGUUUAAUCCAAUCUCUGAUAUGUGUGAGAUCUAUACAAGUGUUGUUGACUGAAAAUAACUGCUUCCUCCGCGCCUGGAUACUCGUCGUGGUCCGGAAAUCCAACCAGUUGUUCGUUCGAGCCAGAUCCAAACGACACCGGACAGACAACCACGGGCGGUUCUACCGUGCCGCACGGUCACGCGCCCAAUUAACCGGCCACACGGCCAAGCGAAUCCAGGAUUAAAAAUAGGAAUCGCGUACAAUUACCGGCCACCCAGCCAGGCAGCCCGCAACGAUAAACCAGCAGUCUCCCGCUCCAUGUUUGGGAGCCAUGCCCAACUACAAACCCAACGUUUCCAAGCUGGCCGCCGCGCCCCGCGACAUCCACACGGCAGAUUAACCCUUCUUCUCCUUUCCUUCCUUCCUCCCUCUCCGCGCGCGCGCGACCUCCCGCAGACCCGCCUCCGCGAAUCUAGCCACCCCCGCGCGUGCGCCACGCACCGUCCGUCCGUCGGACCUCGGCCGGGCCGGCCCGCGGUCGUCGGCGCGCGGAGGGCGUUCGUGAGAAUGCGUGCGGCGGCGAUUGGUUGCUAGCUAGCUAGCGGCAUGCCUGGCAUGAGCGCGUGAUGGCGCCGCCGUUCCUGAAGACCGGGCACGGCCGCGACAGGUUCUCCUUCAGGCGGCGGAAAUCGUCCUCCUCCUCGUCCUCCUCGUCGACGCCGUCUUCUCCGCUCUCGGUGUCGUCCACAGCGUCGGAGGACAUCGCCGACCCGGGCAGCCCCAUGGAGUCGUCAGCGACGACGGGCAAGACGCUGCCCUGCGCCCGGCGGGCGCUCUCGCGGAGCAGCUGCGGGUCCAGGGGCAAGCUGUCCGUCGACCUGAUCCCGCCGCCGCUCGCCGGCGGCCCGUCCGACGCGCCCAGGUCCUCCACCUCCGCCGCGCCGCCCCCCAAGCCUCCCCCCCGCAACGAGGGCCCGCCUUCAGGUCUCACCAUUGUUAAUUUUCUAGUGUCUGUCUGACUUUCUGUCGUCAAAUGCAGAGAAAUGCCUUGUUAUGUUUUCGUGAUCGAUUGCAUGUAUCCAGAUGCUGACAUCGUGAGGGACAAGUUCUCCAAGCUGCUGCUGGGGGAGGACAUGUCCGGCACCGGCAAAGGGGUGUCCUCUGCCCUCGCUCUCUCCAACGCCAUCACCAAUCUUGCAGGUAAUCUCUCCCUUACCUUCCAUUUCCGAUCUUUCCAUUUCCAAUAACAGUCCCUGUCUUUCAAAUCUUCCCAUUCUGUCCGUUGGGUUCUGAUGGAUACUGACACGAUCAGCUAUGAUUUCUUUCUCAUGACGUGGCACAUUGCAGCUUCCGUGUUCGGUGAGCAGCGGCGUCUCCAGCCGAUGGCCGCAGAGCCGAAGGCCCGAUGGACAAAAGAAAUUGACUGGCUUCUGUCCGUUGCCGACCACAUCGUCGAAUUCGUUCCUUCACGUCAGGUGUCCGAGGAUGGCUCCACCAUGGAGGUCAGAAACAAGAGGAUCCUUGCUUAUCACAAGUACCUGGAUGUAGUUCUGUAUCACGGAACAUCUUUAUGCAAAUCCAAUUACAGCGGUGCUAUUUUUCUCUCUCUCCCCCCAAACAGAUAAUGAUGACUCAGCAGCGUAAGGAUCUGCAGAUGAACAUCCCCGCACUGCGCAAGCUCGACGGGAUGCUCCUUGUAAAGCUCUGCCACAUUCUUCUUUGAAAUCAUUUACGAGAAUGACAUGCGUGGAGAUACCUGAUGAAUUGCUAAUAUGCUAUGGCUGCACAUUUCCUGUUGUGGGGGCACAGAGCUAUCUUGACAGCUUCAGGGACAAGCAGGAGUUUUGGUACGUGUCGAAAGACGCAGAUGACUCGGAGAAGGGAGACGCGCCGAAGCAGGAUGACAAGUGGUGGCUCCCGACUGUCAGGGUCCCUCCUAAUGGUCUGUCGGACUCGUCGAGGAGGUGGCUUCUACACCAGAGGGAGCUCGUCGGCCAAGUCCAUAAGGCAACAAUGGCCAUCAAUGCUAAUGUUCUUAUGGAGAUGGAUGUUCCAGAAGCCUAUAUGGAGUCUCUGCCUAAGGUGACCCAUAUGAACACAGCAACAUUGCAUAACAUUUUUCUUUACUUCGGUUCACUGCAUUUAGAGGGAUCGAGACUCACUUUGACAGCAUCUUCUUUUUUUAUGCUUGAUAGAAUGGAAAGUCUAGCCUUGGAGACUCAAUGUACAAGCUUAUAACUGACGAAUAUUUUGACCCAGAAGAACUCAUAGCAUCAGUAGACUUGUCAGCCGAGUACAGCAUCGUUGAUCUGAAGAACCGAAUCGAAGCCUCGAUUGUCAUUUGGCAGAAGAAAAUGACGCAGAAGGAUGCCAAGAUGUGGGGGCAUGGUGUCAGUCAUGAGAAGCGGGGACGGUUUGAGGGGAGGGCGGAGAAUGUUCUUCUCCUCCUUAAGCACAGAUUCCCCGGAAUUUCUCAGUCAGCUCUGGACAUAAGCAAAAUCCAGUACAACAGGGUACUGGCAACCAUCUUCAAUUUUCCACUGUAUUUUCGGAUUUCCUACAGUACUUUAUUACUCAUGCUCAUUGCAUACAUUUUCUCGUUGUGAUUUUUUUGCAGGAUGUUGGCAGUGCCAUUUUGGAGAGCUACUCCAGGACUCUUGAGAGUCUAGCAUACACGGUUAUGUCUCGCAUCGAAGACGUUCUUCGCGCCGACUCCCUUGCUCAAGACCCCAAGAACGCGGAGGCGACGAGAAUGCCGAGCUUAUCAUCAGAUGACACAGACACGGUCGUCCAAGAUGCCAAGGACGAGGUGGAGAGGCUGGGAAGAAUGGAGCCUCUGAACUCGACACUAUUCGACUACGUGGGCCCACGGGACGGAGAUAUCGGGCCCAUGAUGUCGGAUUCACAGGAACCUCGGGGUGCAAAGCUGUCAAAGGUUUCGUCGAUCGCAACCAAGAGGUUCUCCUACCUAGAUAAGCUUGAGAAUUUGGGUGGAACAAGGAGCCCCAUAUCUAGACACUAGUCGCUGCCGUAGGGGAAAAGACGAUCAAUAUGGUGUUGAUGUUGCUGCAGAGACUCCGGGGAAAACUGCACGUAAAUAGCUCCGCAAAAACUGAGGGUGCAGCAUGCAUUGUGAGGUUUAUGUAAGCUUUCAAGCUUUCAGGCACCAAUACCUCCAAUUUGGUGCAGUUGCCAAGACAAUGUGAUGACGAUUCUCCUGCUAAAUUUACAUGAAAUAACCACAAGAUUCUGACACUGGACCUGAAAAUGGACCUCCAGAUUUUCUUACUGUACUUCUGUAGCAAAGUUUUGUGGUUCCAGUAAAGUGUUUGUUAUCUUAGACUUGACUUGCAGACCAUGCUUGGGUUCGGCUAGUGUUCUCCCCACGUACAAUUUAAGAGGGUAAUAACAUAUCACUGAACUUGGAGAUCGAUCUGUGUUAGCUUCUGGCGUUCUAGAUCGGCACUGUAAUAAGUAACUGUAACUGUACCAUGGCUCUAUGCAUUGGGAAAUUAAAACCACUCGUAUGAGUAAAUCAAUUUACAGGAACAAAUGAGCAGUAAAAAGCAUCCUUCCGGUUGCUGAUAGUACGUGCAGCUAGGCACGCCAUAUGAGUACAUACAACGAAGGACUUAACGUCCAGAUACGCAGAUCCAUGGUACACAAGCACAGGCAUAUGCAGGAACAGAUUCAGAGAGAGAGAGAGAGAGAAAGAAACUGAAACCAAAGCUUUAAUCAAAUCAGAUCAGAUCUUGCCGCGUGGGCCGGGGGUGGGGGGAAGCUGCGGCCCCUUCUUGAUGGGCAGCAGGUCCGGCGACGUGGUGGCGCCGAGGUAGGCGAUCAGGGACCCGCCGCCGAGGAGCAGGAACUUGAGCAGCAGGCCGCGCUUGGUGAAUGGCGCCGCGAAGGUCUGGAAGAACUUGCUCUGCAGCCCGUUGUAAGGGGACGGCGCGUCGGACCCGUACAGGUCCCACUGCCCCGUCGUGUUGCCGAUGUCGUCCAGGUCGAAGUACACGCUCUUCUCCCCGUACUUCGCCUGCACCGCGACGCCUCGUGCAGGCCUGCAGGCGUACGCGCACGCGUAUAUAUACGGUUAUUUAUACGUAUGUACAUACGCUCGAUCGAUGACAUAUUAGCUCGCUUCACGUGCGUACCUGCGGGUGGAGCGGCAGAGGGAGGACGGCCGGGCGGUGGCGGCGAGCUUGCGGCCGGACAUGGAACUGCCGGCCAGGCCCUUCACGGCGGCCGACGGCUGGACGGCGACGAGCGACACCAUUGUUGUAACAGUGGGAUGUGUUCUGAGCUUCUUUUUCUUUUUUUUUUUGCUGCGGGUUACGUGCGCGAACUUGAUCCAGUGCUGGGGAUAUUUGGAAGGUGUGCUGCUGCGGGGCUGAUCAGGUUUGGGUGGGAGAGGCUUGGCGGGGAUGGGCGAGGCCCCCAUUGGGAGCGCGCCACGCGGCAGGGUUCCGGAUAGGCUUAUCCUGAUCGCUUGAUUCUUGGGAGGGAUGACAUGGCGCGGCCAACGUGGCACCGGAGCUUGCGUGGGGUUGUCCAGCUGGGAACGGGCGUCGGAAAAGAUCUCACCAGAUGUCCCCGACGGCAUCGAUCGAUCGAUCACGGUCUCACUGAGAUAUGGUGGGCCGGUGGGCCCAGAAGCCCUCUAGCUAGGUGCUAGGACAGUGCACGUAACGUACUCCGUAUUGAUCAUUGAAGGAAAGUAAAGAGAGAUAGGUAGAGAAGGACGUCCACGUACUCCGUUGCAUUUUGCAAAUGUUGCACGUACGUACGUAUCAGCACCAGGAUACAUAUGCAACGUGGGCAGGCAGAGUACGUAUAUUGUAGUGUAACGUAUUGCUAGUCGAUCUUAAGCACCUUCCGCUUGGCCGGGGAUACUAAUUAACCGGUAAAUACGGCGGAAGGGAUGUGUACAGGCGCGAUAUAUACAGUGGAUCCAGAUCUGAGAUCGAUCUAGCUGAGCCUUGCGUACGUGCUAUAUACACAUCCUCAUCCGCGAUGGGCAAGCGCAUGCAUGCAGGGUACGCUUCUACGACAAUGGAGCAGCAAAGGAAUUGACGCUACGCUACGUACAGCGAAUCGAUCAUGCACGGAUUUGCGAAUCGAUAUCUUCACGAUGCAUGGCCACAGGCAGGAUGGCGCACAAGUGUGCUGGGAGCGAGAAGACGCGACUAAAAAAAUAUGUGAAUGCGAUGAGCCGGGCCAGGCUGCCAGCUUUAAGCCCAGAUCCAGAGCGACAAGCAAGCCGUUGUUGCACGCCCAACACUACCAACAUGGACCCGCUUUUUUUCGGCGGGCCUGAAUCCACCGUCUAUACUGAUGCCCUCUGGCCCAAACGAGAAAAGAAAUACCAUACAGUACGGCCGUUUGUUUUUUGUGGGUAUACUGUACACAGGUUGGCGCGGCUAACGAAGAUGCGAGGGCACAGGGAGGCGCACCUUCCUCGGUUCAGUUCAGUUCAGUUCAGGCCGAGAUCCACCGAUCCGCGCGCGCACAGCGCACCGGUGAGAAAGCCAGCACCGACGACGCGGCGCCCCCACGCCACCAGCCAGCCACCGGCCAAACGCACUAACCAAAACCUCGCCGUCGUCGUGCGCUCCCGCCGAACCCCACCCUAGUUCUCUCCCUACUACAUCUCCACGGCGGGAGCUUUGCGCAGCUCUCCCCCGCUCCCCGUGCCACACUCGCUCCUGCACCUCCCGCUCCCCGUCUCCCUUCCCGGCCUGGGGCGUCGGUCCCCAAUUCGGGUCGGGGGGCGCCGAGGUCGCGAGGCGGAUCAGGAUCUGAUCCCGCGCGGCCGGAGCGGGAGCGGUGGGUCGGUCGAUUGGGCGGCGCCGGGAUCAGAUCUAUGCGCGAGAUCUAGCCGGGCGUGCGGGCGGCUGCUGGUGAUCGGAGCCGGACCCGGAGGGGAGUGAGGGAUGGCGUGGUGGUCGGGGAAGGUGUCGCUGGGCGGGCUGCAGGACAUCGCCGGCGCCGUGAACAAGAUCAGCGAGAGCGUGAAGAACAUCGAGAAGAACUUCGACAGCGCGCUCGGCCUCGAGGAGAAGCGCGACGACGAGGAAGGUAUGCGCCACUCAUGCUAAAGCCGCCCCCCCCCGACCCGACCCCUUUCCUCCCGUGUAGCCGCCUAGCCGGGCAGCAUUGGUGCAUGCUUGGCUGCGUGCAAGUGUCGAUUGGGAACUGCGAUGGGAUUUUUUUGGUUGAAUACUGCACUGGGUCAUGGGAUUGUCACUGGCGGUAAUGCUGUUUGUAGCGUUGUUCAUGCGAUGAUUGGUUAGUUAGCUAUCGAUAGUGUAUACUGACUGAUGUGAUUGUAGGAAGCAGAAGUUUGAAUUCAGGUCAUCGCUGGUUCCAUUGCUCUCGCAGCUUCUUAUGUAGAUAGAUUAUUGCUUAAGUCUCGGACUCUGUAAAUUGGUCAAGCAAAACCCCAGUCCCUAAGUUUCGUAUUUAUCAGCUGCUGCAUUAUUGAUCAUUGAUUGGUCUAGCCAGAUCAUAAAAACUUAUACAUACUUCUUAGUAGCGUUGGCAUUACAACAGAUUUUGUAUUGCUCUUUCCUUUUGAGAAGUAAUGGAACUUGGAGGCAGUGAAUUCAUGCCUAUUCUCAUAACUUUUUUCCAAUAGUUUUUGUUCUGAGUAGCAUCGCUAGGAUGAGCAUAUUUGGAGAAUAUAUAGCUUCUAAUUGUUCAUUUACAUGGCUAACGUGAGACCCAAAAAAUGUGUUUUUGGGUGAUCCAGGAUCAGGAUCACGUACAUCCAACUCUGAUGGAAUAGGAUUCUUUAAUCCUGUCAUGGCAUUUAUGGGACAAAAUGGUGAGGAGAACUCUACGGAAGUAUCAGAAAAGCAACAAUUGCCAAUACAUUCGUCAGCAGAAGAAGAAAAUCAUAGGGUCACCACCGAGCCAGCUACAUCUGAAGCAGAUGCUUCUGAAGUAUCAGUAACAACCCAAUCUCCAAAGCAGCUUCCAAAAUUAGAAGAGAAUGUCAGCAGCUCCACUGAGCUACCUGUAUCUAAGGUGGAUGUUCCUGACCAAUCUGUAACACCGCAAGCUCCAACACAUCCUUCAGCAUUAGAAGAAAAUAAUGGUGGCUCCACUGAGUCACCUACAUCUAAGGGGGCAACUUCUGAAGUAUCAGAGACACCGCAGUCCCCGAUACAUCCAUCUAUAGCCGAAGAAAAUUCUAGUGGCUCCAUUGAAACUAGUAACUCAGUUGAGAGGGAAAAUCAGGGUCACGAAGGUAAUGAAUAUUCUGAUCCCAAUGACGAAGCUUUACCGAGCCAGCUUGGAGUGUCCGGCAGGGACAUACCUGGUGGUGGAACAUCUUCACCUAAUAAAUUAGAUCAAUCAAGUGUUAUUGGAGCAGAAGAAUCUAUUCAUGAUGGAAAGGAUGACACAAAUGGUAACCAGUCACAGCCAGCAGAUUCCACGGUAGCCAGUUCAGAUGAUGUAAAUGAAGGCAAUAAGAUUGGUCAAGAAUUUGAUGCCCAAAAGGAAAUAAUCAGCCCACAUGAGAGCAAUGUUAUCGAUGACAAAGCCAGUCAUGUGGAAGUCAAGUUACAUGACGACGCUGCUGAGAAUGAAGAAGAAAACAGUCAAACAGAAGCACAUGCAGUAUCUGUUGUUGAAAAUGUGGAUAAUACAGUGUUGCAACUUGAAAACCCUACCUCAAAGUCGAUAACUAUGGAUGAUGAUUCAGACUCGCAAAAUGAGUUAGCACCCGCUUCUGUACAUGUUCCUGUUGGUCUUGUAGAAGUUGGUUCUCAUGCAAAUGAUUUGAGAAAAGAAGAAAAGAUUCAUGACUCUGUAACAACCAUAAAUUCUCGAGAAUCUGUUGGUUCUGUUGUUGAACUAGAGAAACUAAGACGUGAAAUGAAGAUGAUGGAUGCUGCAUUGCAAGGUGCUGCAAGGCAGUCCCAGGUAUCAUUUCCAAAAUCCACAUGCUCUAGCAUCUACUGUAGCAAUUAAGUUAGUAACAUGUUUGGUUGAGGAACUAGACAGUGAGUAUAUCAUCCGAUUCUAGCCCACUUGUUUGGGUUGAGGAAUAGACUCGGUUAGUCCAACACCACUUCAUCCUUCAUAUGCAUGAGAUUGGCACUAAUGGGAAUUGAGUCAUCCCACCAAUUUGAUUGAUCAUCCCAUGUUGAGGCAACUCAUCUUGGAUUGAGGCAAUCCCUCGAACUAAAUACCCCCUUGAUGCAUGUGUGGUUGAACUUGUACAUUAUGAAAGUUACUCCUGGAUGAUUCAACUUGGAAGCAAACCUUUAGUGCAAUCUGUUUGAACCAAUGAGUGCUUGCUAAAUUGUCUGUAUAUGUACCUUUUUAUUCAGUCUGAAUCUAGUUUACCCGUGAUGUGGAUUCAUCUCAUAUUUUCCUUUUUUUGGGGUGUCAUGCUUUACGGAAAAAAACAUAAAAUAUGUACAGUUAUCUAAUAUUUCAAAGUGCUUUGUAGUGUCAGAAAGGAGCAUAUCAUGCAAUUAUCUUUCUUCUUUUCUGAGUAUUAUAUUCUGAUGCACCGAGCCGGUCAUGAGGUAUUAUGUGCUUCAGAUGCGUUCUUAACAAUGAUCGUCAAAACAUUGUAUAAUUUGAAUGGCCUAUGGCCCCAUGUUAGUCAUUUCUUUGCAACAUACAUGACCCUUCACCACCUAUUUAGGUUCUAACAACACUUUAUUUUUCCUACAGUCCAAAGCUGAUGAAAUUGCUAGACUGAUGAAUGAAAAUGAGCAAUUGAAAUCAGCAAUUGAUGAGCUCAAGGUAUGUUUGCUAAGCAGAUUCCUUAUCUUUUGCCUUCUGGACAUAAACAUUUGGGAUGUCUUUCAGUUAAUUAACAAAAAAAGGAUGCCUUCGGUUUAGUAAUCACCACAAUUUUGAGUUGAAUUAUGUGAAAAUAAACAAGAUAAAUACUGAGUUGCUUGGCAGCUCCUUUAGCCUUUGAUGAGUGUUAUAAUAAAUUUUUUUACUGUACAGGGUAAGUCAGCUGAAGAAGAAAUGGAUGCUCUCAAGGAUGAAUAUCACCAAAGAGUAGCAACUCUUGAAAGGAAGGUGAGACACAUUACUUUUGUUACUCAGUGCUACUAUUGACAGUUGAUCAUUGCGUAUUGCAUACGGCAACCUGAUUUAGGACUAAUAAUCAUGGAGAACAGAUAGAUACAAGUGCGCUAAAUGCCGCUAAGACCAGAGGGUUGAUAAACAAUAUACGAUAUUACUCACAUACAAUAUUGUAAUUACUAAUUACAAUCUUCAUGCUUUUUGUGCGGUGGUAGGCCUGGUAAUGGGGCUAAGCCCGCACCGAAUCCAAACCACACCAUAACAUCUCACGUGUAUUUCCCAAUCGCAACCAAACCAGAAGUGAAAUUAGAAAACCCAAACCACACCGCACCGUACGACUUCUCCAUCCAAUCCGCACCAAACCAAUUCAGAAACCGCAGGCUCCGGCACCACGGUCAGGCUUCGAUGGAGAUAGGCGGAGGGAGGCAGAAGCGGGGAGAUUGAAGGGCGACCGGUGGCGGAGGGUGUUGGACCUUGGGGACACUGGCGACGUGCAGAUCGGGAGGAAAAUGAUGUUGGGGAGCAGAUUGGGAGGAAGACGAUGUGGGGGAGCCGGUUACAGUUUACGAAGAAGAGGAGGCAGGGGGCGCCGGCGGCGGAGCGCCGGAUCAGGCAAGGGCGGCUGGCGGUGGAACGCCGGAGCAGGCAGGCGACGACAUCGGGAGGAAAACGAUGUGGGGGAGCCGGUGACAGUUGACAAGGAGGAGGAGACAGGGGGCACCGGCGACGGAGCGCCGGAUUAGGCAAGGGCGUCUGGCGGCGGAACGCCGAAGCUGGCAGGUGGCGGCGAGCGCAACCCCGUCACCAUCACAAGGGGAAGUUGAGGCCGUGCCAUCAUGGUCUUUGUUAUUCCAAGUGGUGUUCAUGGGCUGAAACCAAGGUUGGAGACCACGGUCUGAGCCCAAUUCAGUUCUAGACCGGUCCAAACCAAACCGCACCAGUCCAAACCGCAUUUGUACUAAUACCAAACCAGCCCAGACCGAUUUUCUAUCCCAUCCAUUUGAAACCGCACUGUUUGAACCCGCAUGCAAAACCCGCACCAAAAAAACCGAACGAACCUGCACCAUUACCAGGCCUAUGCAGUGGCUCUAUUUUGUUAUUCUUUUUUUUUGCAUUCUUUGUUUUAAUGGUAAAAUAAUCAAAGAUUCUCUUCUGUGCUUUAAACUUUGAACUUUAUGUUAAUGGUAAAAUCAUGGUAAAAUAAUCAAGCUAUUUAGCUACACUUUGAACUUCUUUUUCCUGCAAUUCUUCUAUUGUUGAACCCUUUGACUAGCUGGGGCGCAAUUACAUUUAUUGCACUAUGGUUAAUUUUGUUUUUCUCUUAAUUCAGUUCAUCAAGAAAUUGAGUUGAUAUUUAAUACUAAAGUUGUGUUUAGAGUGAGGCAAUGAGCUGCAUUAGUAAGGUUCCUUAGAAUGCUAUUGUCAGAAUCUCAUAAUCCUCUAUGUCAUUUUUUGUCCCUUCCGGGUUCAUAACUUAUAUUGCCAGUGUCCUUGUUCAUAUAUACAAUUAAUCUUGUGCAUAGCACUGAAAUGUUUGUAAUGUGCAUGCCUCAAUGUGUGUAGGUUUAUGCACUAACCAAAGAACGAGACACAUUGAGGAGAGAGCAAAAUAAGAAAAGUGACGCGGCUGCUCUUUUGAAAGAGAAGGACGAAAUUAUCAGUCAGGUUAUGGCUGAAGGUAUGCAUAAUUGUGAUUUUUAUGCUUACUGAACAUAUUUUAACUAAUGUUAAGUCAAAAUAUGUUCUGUUGUAUUGUUGAAAACAAUAUGAAAUUGCCUUUUCUAUUAUUUAAAGACAUCCAGUGAACAUUCCAAAUAUUAAUGUUACCAUACGUUAUGUUGCACCGUGUCGAGCACCCUUUAUUGAUUAGAGUCAUUUCAAUCGUGACUUCAAUGAUCAUGCAUGAAUAUGUACAUAUUAGUAAGAUUAGAAAAAUAUGUAAUUGCCUCCAGAACAUGGAUAUAAGACCAUAAAAAUGACAUCACAAACUUUUAAACCACCUAUCACUUCUGUAUGGGCCUGUACUCUGCAGUUUAUCGUGUGAUAUUUGGAAGUUUUGUGUCUUUAAGCUAGCCUUGGUUGAGUGCCUUACUGCUUUGGUUGGAGCUGAAGUCCUUGGCUCUCUGCUGUAAGGCUCUGAUCUGGCUACCAAUGGUAGUUGUAGAUAACUAGGUAUUAGGCAUGCACAUUUUCUUUGUGAAAAGGGCCUAAUGCCCUAAUGUGUAAGUUUGCCGUUAUUCCUCCAUCCGCUGCUUUAGACCAUGUACAUACUAUAGCCCCCCAUGUGAUCAUGUUCACCUUUUUAGUAUGUUCUGGACCAUGAUUGGCAAUGACACUAACAUCUUGUUUUUACCAAUGGAACAGGCGAAGAGCUAUCCCGAAAACAAGCUGCUCAAGAAGCUACUAUACGGAAACUGAGGACGCAGGCAUGGGAUAUGACUCUAUAACCAUACUACUUCAUCAAAAUUAUAAAGUAGGUUUUACCAAAGUAAUCAAGUUUGCUUUCUUUUUUUUGGUUGAAGCUAGGUUCGUGAGCUUGAAGAAGAAAAACAGCGGAUGAACUCAAAGAUCCAGGUAAAAAGGAAAAUCAACUUUGUUUUAUUAAUGAAUGAAUAAAUAAAUUAAUUGACCCCAACUAAAUUAUUUUCUUAUCUGCUUUAAUAUCAUAAAGUAUUUUUCUUUGCUGUUUGCAUGAUUAAAAAAAUCAUUUCUGAAGCUAUUUUUUAUUGUUUGUUUAUUCCUAUUUGUUUUGUUCCAUUUGAACAGUAGUUUGCAUCACCCGUACAGCUUGUUUACAGUUUCAUGAGUUCGUUACAGUCAGACAUGCUUUUUUCUUUCUUACUUGGUUGAUGGGCAACUCUGAAAUAUUGCACUCAGAGAUUAUGGAGUUGAUCUUCAUCCUUUUUGUUUGCUCUCAGGCUUCAAGUGCAGUCACUAACUCAGCAAUUUUCUGACUUUACAGGUUGAGGAGACAAAGGUUGAGAGUAUUAAAAGAGACAAGGCAGCAACCGAGAAGUUGCUACAAGAAACAAUAGAAAGAAAUCAAUCUGAACUUGCAGCUCAGAAGGAGUUCUACACAAAUGCUCUUAGUGCAGCAAAAGAGGCUGAGGCAUUAGCUGAAGCAAGAGUCAACACUGAAGCCAAAGUUGAGCUUGAGAGCCGUUUGAGAGAAGCUGGUGAAAAAGAAAACAUGCUGAUUAACACAAUUGAUGAGUUGAGGAAUGCUCUCACCAGACAAGAACAGGAGGUAUGCUAUGAAAAUAUUCGUCUGCACCUGUGCAUCUGUAGUUCAACAUCCUCGGUACAAAUAGUGUGUAUAUUGUGCUGAUCUAACCAUAAUCUACAUUUGACUCCUGGAUAAAAACUUCAUCUGAUAAUUAUUGUUUUAGCUGCCCACUUUCGAUUCACUGAUUGCAAGUAUUUCUUUCGUGGCAUUUCAGGCAGCUUUCAGGGAAGAAAGGCUAAAAAGGGAUCAUGAUGAUCUUCAAAAGCGGUACCAAGUAAGCUCUUCUGUUUUAGCUGCUACUACAGAGUACUGUAGUCAUGGACCAAUUCUCAAUUUCUUUCAUUAUUUAAUACUUCAGGCCAGUGAACUUCGUUAUAAUGAACUGGUUACACAAGUUCCUGAGUCGACCAGGCCACUCCUAAGGCAAAUUGAAGCCAUGCAGGUAUGAGUGCUUGCUUUGGAUUUUCCUUGUGCUGUAAUUGUUUCGCUGUUCUUCUGUUAGUUGGUGUAUGCAUCCGAGUCUGUGAAUUGAGUUUUUCUGCUGUUGUAAGUUGGCUAAUCAGUUGUGUUUUAAUUUUAACAGGAGUCAGCUGCUCGAAGGGAAGAAGCUUGGACUGGUGUGGAGAGAACCUUAAACUCUCGCCUUCAGGUCAAUUCUGUUCUGAACUUUUGGUUUAACAGUGAUGUGCAGAAAAACAAUGGAGAAAACUAGAACUACAACAUGGACCUUAAAUUGUUAUAAAUGUGCAAUGAGCAGGGACAGCAGAACAAAAUGGACAUAAACUUUGACAUUAAGUCAUUAAUAACUGUUUUCUUGUAGUUAUUUAUGCCUCUGCAAAUGUACAGAUAAAGAGGAGUGGUUGGGUGCUAUCUAUCUUUAGUGCAGUCGGGCAGUGUCAGGAACACAAACAUAAAUAUUUCACUGACAUAGUUUUAUCUGUCCUACUCAAAUAUGCAGGAAGCAGAAGCAAAAGCUGCUGCCUCGGGAGAAAAGGAGCGGUCCAUAAAUGAGAGAUUGUCACAAAGUUUAUCACGCAUAACUGUUUUGGAGACCCAGGUUUGUGCAAUAAUUUCUUCUAAAAACAAAAACUUGUGACAUUAUUGUAAGUCAACCCGGGUUUUUGGCAACAAUUUGGGGCCUUUAGUAAGAAAAGUAUUUAUUUUGAAAUGAACUUUGUGUCUUGUGCAGAUUACAAUUCUUAGAACAGAGCAGACACAGCUGAGCCGAUCUCUUGAAAAAGAGAGGCAGAGAGCAUCUGAAAGUAGACAGGAGUACCUUGCAAUUAAGGAGGAGGCGGCAAUACAAGAAGGACGCGCCAAGCAACUUGAAGAAGAAAUAAAGGAGCUUAGAGCUAGGCACAAAAAGGAGUUGCAAGAAGCAGCAGAACACAGGGGGCUGCUUGAGACGGUAGUCAAUUUUCUCUGUGAAUCACUUCCUGAAAAGAACUGGAACUACAUGUAUACGGAGCAAUGUUUCUGCUGCCAAUUUCAUUGAUGAGACCUAGAAACACUUUGUUUAACAUAUGACAUAAAAUUUGAACUUUGGAGGCUAUCUUAUAGCAGGCCUAUUUUAGGAUCAACCGGUAUUUGUUUACUUCGUUGCUUUCCCUACGUGAAGAAAAUUAGUUUUAAAUGUCACUAAUCAUGUGCCUGCCAUUAGAUCUUCUAGUUCAUACAUUACCAACUUGGCAACAAUUUAAUGUGUCUAUUAAAUUCUUGCGUCAAUUGCAACUUCUGAAUUUCAGGACCUUGAAAGGGAAAAGGCUGCCAGAGCAGAACUUGAGAAAACAUCUUCCCGGGAGCCACCUAAAAUUCCGCUUCCAGAUCAAACAAGUAUGCUCUUUCUUGGCCUCUGAUUAGUUUCUGUAAGUUCAAUCCAGCUUUUCUUUUUUGUUGCCUUACCUGUGACUCUGUUGGUUUCCUCUUUGCUUUUCUUGAAGGAAAUGCUCCUGUCAGAAGGCUCUCUAGUGCUUUGAGUGUUGGCAGCCUGGAAGAAAGUCAUUUCCUUCAAGCAUCAUUGGACUUAUCAGAUAGUUCAUCAUUGGAGAGGAGAAUGUCAGCAGAAAAUAAUAUGUCAUACUAUCUGAGGAGCAUGACUCCAAGUGCUUUCGAGUCAGCACUCCGUCAAAAGGACGGAGAACUGGCUUCUUACAUGUCACGCUUGGUAUGUAUAUGUGCGGAUGCAUCCUUCUAAUAUUUCUCCUAAACUAUUUUAUUUUAUUUUCUUGCUAUAUAUAUAAAUUUGAUAUUACUUCUGGAAACUGACAUUUGCUGAUUAUUCAAGCUAUUAUUUCAUAAAGUAUAUUGGAGUAGAAAGCUAUUUUUAGCCGAUUUACACCUGAACUUGUGCAUUAUGGAUGUCUAAAAUAUUUCUAGUUAAGUUUAGCACUAGCUUGUGCAUACACACACUAUUUCACACUCCCUUUAAAAAUUGGUGAAACUAUAUCAAGUUGCUGGCAAACCCUGAGCCCAACUGUAUGUUGCCAUAUAGCGUUUUUUUUUGGCUGUUUUCAUGAGGUGCCUGGUUACCUAACUUAUAUCAUUCAGCAUCAUCUAGAAUGUAGUGGGCCAUUUACUCCCUGGACAUUGUAUCAAGCACUCAUCAGUCCCAUACUAGUUUUAAAACCCUACGGGUUAAUUACUACAAAUUCAUGUGUCAUUCUCAUAUAUCCUAAUUUGUGAAGAAGCAGGAGCGGUAGCUUGGAAUAGUUCCACGACUUGUGUUUUCAUAAGAUGUUUUACCUUUACAUGUUUUGCCCACUAGAAUGGCCUACACCAUUUGAAGCCAUCUAUGCUGGCAACGUUUCCGUAUCUGUUUCAUGUUCUAUCAAACAAUCUUCAGUCCCAUACUGGUUUUAAAAGCCUAUGUGUUAGCUACUACAAAUUUGUGUGUCAUUCUCGUAUAUCCUAAUUUCUGAUGAAGUGGAAGCAAUAGCUUGAAAUAGUUCUGUGACUUAUGUUUCCAAAAGGAUGUUUCUUUUAUCAUGACAUCAGGUCACCCUCAAAUGUUCAUCAUUUAGGUUAGGUUUAGGAUAUGAUAUGUUUGUACUACUUGUGCUACAGCCUUGAGAGCAUUGUCGUAGACUCCUUGGGUAUGCAAUUGUUCUAAUACUUCGGCCUUCAUGCUUUAGUACGCUAAUCUCUCUUGCAAUUGGCACUGAAUAAAUGUCACUUUUAUAUUACAGGCCUCAUUAGAAUCUAUUCGGAAUUCUCUGGCGGAGGAGUUGGUGAAACUGACAGAACAAGUAAAUCAUUGUGAACCAACUAGACUAUAAUUUCAUUAUAUAUGCGGGUGCUAAUUGAACUGGUUUCGUAUGCAGUGUGAAAAAUUGCGGACUGAAGCUGCUGCUCUGCCUGGCCUAAGGGCUGAACUGGAAGCACUGAAACAAAGACACUUUCAAGCUCUAGAACUUAUGGGUGAACGUGAUGAAGAGGUAUUUCUCACAUGCAGUGCAUCUCACCAUUACUCUCUGUGUUAUUGACUUGUACCACAAGAUACACCAACAAUAUAUAAUCCGUCAUUAUAUUUAGUCUCAUAUCAUAUGGAAAAGGGAGUCCUCUUCAUGAAUCAAAUUGUGGUAGCGAGCUUACAUAGUGGAAUCCUGUAAUUAACUUCACUAAUUAGUAACCUGGAAUUUCUACACUAAGUAGCUUGUAGUGACUUUUGGUGAUUGCAACCUAGCCCACAAACCCAGCUGUUUCAGUCAUAAAACCUGUAACUCGUCUGGUUUUAGAUUUGAUGUUGUUUUUCAAACUUUGGUUAUUGAAAUGUAAACAUCUAUUCGCUGUAAUUUGUUGAAAAUGAGGGUCUGUAUAGAAAUUGCCAUGGUAAAGGAAAACUAGAGGUGACCUGGUCUCAGUUUACGGGGUGGUUACUGGUUGCUAACCACCGGUUGGAACUGCCAUGAUGGCUGGGACUCUGGUUACAUUUUUAUGCACACUCUGUAGCUGCCGUAUAAGAUGGUCCUGAAAAAUGUUUUAGUAAAUUCAAUUAAUAUGACCUAUUACCAAUACUACUUUCUGUUAACAAUGGAAUGGACCCAUGCAUAAGCUUGACAAUGAACUAGUUGUCUGACAGUUGGCAUAAGCUGCCUAAUUUAACCUGUCCGUAUUAGUGUCUUCUCAAAGGGAUGUGAAUUCAAUGCGACAUUGUGUGUGCACGAUACACUUUCGGAUAUCUUUGUAUUAUUGUUCCGUAGACCCUUACCUUCUAUUUCUUUCAUACUUAUUAUGAAAAAAAAUCUGUGCUGUUUUGCAGUUAGAAGAGUUACGAAAUGAUAUUGUUGACCUAAAGGAUAUGUACAGAGAACAAGUGGAUCUUCUUGUUGGCCAGGUUUGAAGUAUAUUGAUUUAAAUUCUGCUUGUCAUUGCGGAACCCUGAAAUGUGUUGCCCUAAAACAUCAAUUUUCCUUUUAUCAGCUCCAGACAUUGGGCGCUCGUGUAUAGCAGUGAAUUUGACAUCCCAUUUAAUUUUUAAUGCACUGCAUCGACCGAGACCAAGAUAACAAUUUUGAAGCCUGAACAUGUUUCUUCAGAAUUCGAACUGAUGCGAGUGUGGGAAGUUCAUAAUCACACAACGAGUGAAGAUAUUAUUUGUGUACAUUUUGAAGCAUCUUUGUUGUUGAAUUUAGUAGGAUAGUUUGUUGUAUACUAGAUUGAAUAGCUUCACAGUUUUACGUUUACAGAAAUUGCAAAAAAAUAAUUUACUGAAGUGUACCAAAUUUGGAACCUACAAGUGUAUGUCGACGUCUCUAAUAAUAUGGAGAUCCUGUUUUGACAGCUUUGUCAGGUUUUCUGUCACUCUGUAAUCCAGGAUUACUUAGUUUGAUUUUUUGCUAGUUUGGAAAGACUAAAAUAUAUUAGAUUAAGACCGCGUAUUGUGAUGUUGCCGCAAAGAAAUGUAUCCAGCCUGGGGAAAAGCUUCAUUCCCAGGUGCACAAUAAGGGUUGUAAAUGCACAGGAAUAGGAAAAGCACGUGACUACAAUAUCAUGCCCCAAAUUGUAUAGGAUUGUGUUUAUGCCAACUUUUUUUUUAUAUAAGUGUUUACUCAAAAGUUUGUUUGAUUCGAUCAUAGUAAGAAAUUUCCAACAGGUUUGAUCAAUAGAAAAUUUCCUAUGAAAUGUGGUUCAAAGAAAUUCUAAGAAAAAUAUCUAUAAAUUCAAUCCUACAAAUCAAACAACAAAGAUAGCAAAAUUUCCUAAGGACUUGCAUUGAAAUAUUGGAGGAUUGGAAAAGUUCCUAAGGACUUGCAUUGAAAUAUUGGAGGAUUGGAAUACUUAGAUUUUUUUUUUCCGGUGGGUUGUUUGAUUUGAAAGUUGAGUCGGGUGGGAAAUCUUUCUUUAGGGUUCUUUUGCACUGUAUUUUAUAAAAAAAGAAAUCUUUUCAUUCAAACCUUUAGUGAAGAUUCAUUUGUUUUUCCUUGAUUCAAUCAAACACAACAUUGAUGUCACCACAAUCUUGUAUUCAAAUAGGCAUGGCAUUGCAAUCCUAUUUUUCAAAUCCUACGAAUCAAAGAGAACCUAUGGAACUUUACAAGAUUACGAUGUUAACAUAGAUUGGAGUUGCAAUGAAGGAUUUUAUGUGAGAACCUAGCUUUGCUGCGAAUUAAAUCUCAAACACUAGAUUUUACGAGAGAACCCAACUUCGUAGCGGAUCAAAUGUCAAAACGCCGCCAAAGAGACGGUAUGUUUGAUACCACUCAGUCAGAUCCUUCUACGUGUGAUCGACAAUUCACCAGAAGAUACUUUCUUUUGUCCUGAUGUUGUUGCCAGAGCAAUCUGGCUUUGUAAUUAUCCAAUCUUUUGAUAACUCCUCUAGUUUGCUUUGACGAAAGACUGACAUGUGCAAAGAAACACUACUUAUACUGUUAUACAUGCCUCCAAUAGAUUAAAAAAAACUUUUACAGCCUUCCAACUUCUUUUCAACUCUUUCCUCUUUAGGUUCCCAAUGAGAAUUGCUCAGUCUUUUAACGUCCACUGGAAUUCCCUCAUAAGUUAAGGGGAGACUACCCAUGUUAAAAUCGAAAAUUUUACUAGAACAAACACUUCUUUGAGCAAAAUCUCUUACACGGUACAACUCGCUCUUAUGAAAGUUAACUUUCUGACCAUGAACUAGCUCAAAAGCACAUAAAACGAAUUUUAAGUUUUUGUCGUGGACCAGAUCAUCCUUAAAUUGACAAGCCCCCCCCCCCCCCCCUUCUGCUUAAAAAGGGAUAAAAAAAGGGAAACAUGAGUUGUUGAACUGCCAUUCGAGUCCAUGGUUUUUUUUUUCUUUUCUUUUUUCUAGAAUACACCCAAGCAGGUGUAUCAUAUAUUGAAGGAGGAUUCCGCGACGCAUUUACAUGCCCGUAGGCGCCAGUAAAGCGACCAUUCUAUUACAUUCCACAAGGGAUCCACUAGACUAGAAAGCGAAAAAUCUACACUAUGAAAAAGACCCGCGCUCGACCAUGCCCUUCCUUCACUGUUGAUCAUUUGUUGUAUCUUUCUAGCACUCGGAGUUGCUGCAUCGAACACCACCGAGUUCCUGUGCUUCCAGAGGCACCAGCAGAUGAGAGUAAUGCUAGUGUUGAGGUUCCUCUUCUCUUUCUUGCCUUGCACCACAAGGCUCGUCCACCAUUCGGCAAGAGAGGCUUGCGGAGUAGGGAGCCAGCAAAGCCUGUUCCAGCCCCGCAGCGAGGUCGACCACACUUCCCGAGCCACGACGCAACCAAGAAGAAGAUGGUCAAUGGUCUCAUUGCUUUGAUCACACAAAGGACAGCGUGCCGGGUGGGGCAAACCCCGCUUCGAAAGCCUAUCCGCCGUCCAACAACUAUUUUUUAGAGCCAACCACAUGAAUGUCUUGCACUUAGUUGGCGCCUUGGAGGACCAGACCUCAGUAGCCCCCGCAGCAAGCACACGACCCCGGAAGAAAGCCGCGUACGCAGACGAGGCCGUGUAGGUCCCAUUGUCGCUCCAUUUCCAAUGGAAACGAUCAUCAUCGUAUGAAAGAAUCACCUCAGCCACGCGGUCAUGAACCACCAGAAGAUCCACAAGCGCCUGAAAGCAGAGCUCCGGGUGGAUGGCCCGAAGCCAACCAUUGGCAUGCAAAGCCUCGGCCACAGAAAGCCUGGAUGCCCUACGCAAGAUCUCCGAUAGCAGCGUAGGCGCCAAAUCCGCAAGUGAACGCCCCUCCGGUAGCCAAGGAUCAUACCAAAAAUGUAGAGCUUCACCAUUCCCCCUUGCCACCUCAAUCGCCGCCUCACAAAGUGCCCUGGCCUGUUCCGGGAUUUGGAUGUUGAAUUCAGCCCAUGGACGCGUCGGGUCCACAUGACAUAGCCACCCCCAUCGUGUUCUGAGUGCAAGAUUGAGAAGCUUCAGAUUAGGGAUGCCUAAACCACCAAUCUUGCGAGGGGAACUGCCUUUCCACAAGAACACACGACAUAUCUUCUCUAUGCCCGCAAUGGUCUUCAUAGGAAGGUUGAGAGACAUCAUGACAUAGACCGGCGUAGCUGAGAGGGUCGAUCUAACAAGGGUGAGCCAUCCCCCAAGAGUAAGCAUAGGGACGGACCAUGUCUGGAGCUUAUUCGCCACCUUGUCCACCAUAGAUGAAAGUUGAGUUGCCGUUGGCUUCCGAAGCCCGAGAGGUAAGCCCAAUUAGGUACAUGGGAAAGGCCCCACCUCACAACCAAGCGUGCAAGAUCAAUGGUCUUGACAAAGAUAUUUAAAGACUUGUAUUGUGCUACCGAAUUCAUAUUAGCAAACGUGCAAGAUCAAUAUUUGUUUAGUUUUUUUUUGACAACAUAGAUCAAUAUUUGUUUAGACACGAUGAUUGAGCGAGUACAUGCGAUGUAACAGUCGGAAAAGGUUUCACACAAGUUCAUUUGUCAGUGAACAAAUUAUCUGCAUUGCAUUUUUUCAUAACAAUACAUGGACGUCUGUUCCGUUGGGCUCAAAAAGAAUUAAACAAAAAAUAAACGUCGACAGCAGGAUUCGAACCUGCGCAGGCAAAGCCCAACAGAUUUCGAGUCUGUCUCCUUAACCACUCGGACAUAUCGACCCACUUGGUCUUUUAUUCCUCUCAGUAUUUAUAUACAUGACUAUUCUGUUAACAGAUUGAUGAUUUUUUGUCAUUGCUAUAACCAUCUUUUACAAAAUAUUUGAAGCUUGCAGCAGAACAUGUAAACAUUUAUUCCUUUGAGAUGCGGGGUCAUAAUUUCUGCAAAAAAAAAACUCUGUACCCUUUUCGCAAGAAAAGAAGGAGAGCUAUCACCUGAGUACUCCGUAUUUAGCAUUCUUUAAUUUACAUACUAGUGCUCUAGAAAAAAGUUGCAUAUAGCUUCGUUGCCAAAUCAGACGGGCACUCGGGGCUGCAAUUGCAUGAUGGGCAAUUUGCCAUGCAUUAUUUGACGGAGUACCAACACGGAACACCCGGAAGCGUGAGGCAGCAGGUGCAUUCUUCAGUCAUUCAGUCCAGCCUUCCCUUUCGGUUUCUCCGCUGCCCUUGCCUAGCUAGGCUAAGCUUGUUUAGCUCGUAACAUUUCAAUGUUAAGUUUGCUAUCUUCCAAUGAGGAGUCCACUGUAGUAGCAUUAGCAGUUGGGUUGGUAUGGCCAUCUUGGUAGCUUCUUCUAGCCUCGGGACUUUACAAUCGAAUGCAUCAAUGCAAGAACAUAUGCAUUGUGAUGUACUAACAAGGAUCGAUAAGUAGAAUGAAAUCUGUGUCUUGUUCCAUUAAAUGAUGAUUAUAUUUAUACAAGAGGAAGGGACACCAAUACAUGCAUUGGUGUCCCAAGUUUUGGGCAUUCGCAUCCCGACACAGACGGUUACAACAUUGACUGCCUAAUUAACCAUUAAUUAACUAAUAAUUAAUUCUAAUUGAUCAUAAAUAAUUAUUCUCAACACUCUCCCUUGAUCAAUUUGCUCCAUUGAUUUGUAUAUUCUUGAAUCAUCAUGAAAUCUUGUAAUUUCCUCUAAAAACCCUAUGGGAAAAAUAUUGAGGAAAUAAUAAUAAUAUCGAUAUGUUAUGAAAAACUCCCUUUAAAAAUCCAAUGGGAAAAAUAAGGAGAAAAUGGUAUAACAUAUUUUGAAUAUUGUCUCUUGAUAAUUCAUAUUGAAUUAUAUGAACAAUAAAUAUGCCUUGUAUAUUAUCCACAAAAAUCCCGGUGGGGAAAAUAUAAAAUAUGACAUAUAAUCUUAUGUUAAUAUUGUCUCAUUAAAAACCUUUUAUGAGAAACUAGUGAGUAAAACUCAUAAUAGGAAAAGAGUGCAAUAUGAUGUUAUGAACAGGUUAAAUUCAGGUGAAUACUCCCCCUAAUGCUUGCAAAUUUUUAAGUCGUCGCAUACCAAUCCCAUGUACACAUUUUUUAAAUGUGGAGUUGGGUAAGGACUUAGUGAACAAAUCUGCGAGGUUAUCACGUGAUUUGGUUUGCAAGAUAUUUUUCUCCCCAUUUUGUUGUAAUUCAUGAGGAUAGAAUAGUUUAGGUGCAAUAUGUUUAGUUAUAUUGCUUUUUAUAUAACCUGUUUGCAUCUGGGCAACACAAGCAGAAUUAUCCUCAUAGAUAAUUGUUGGUGAUUCAAUCAAACCAAUACCACAUGAUUGUUGUAUAUGGUUAAUCAUUUUGCAUAGCUAUACACUUUCACGAGAUGCUUCGUAUAAAGCUAUUAUUUCUGAAUGAUUUGUGGAUGUAGCCACUAUAGUUUGCUUAGAAGGCUUCCACGAUAUGACUGUCCCACCGUGUAGGAACACGAAACAGGUCUGGGAUCUGGCAUUCUGGGGAUCAGAUAAAUAGCCAGCAUCAGUGUAUCCGAUUAAUUCAGAGUCUUGGUUUUCCUGUUGGAAAUAUAGACAUAGAUCUUUAGUGCCUUGUAGGUAGCGAAAAACUUGCUUGACUCCUACCAAUGACGUUUUGUUGGAGCUGCGCUGUGUCUAGCUAGUAAAUUUACAGCAAAUGCAAUAUCUGGCCGGGUGCAAUUUGCUAGGUACAUUAAUGCUCCAAUGACACUAAGAUAUGGGAAUUCAAAUCCUAAAAUUUCCUCUCCAUCACCUUUUGGUCUGAAUGGAUCUUUCUCUACGUCUAGAGAUCAAACUACCAUAGGUGUUUUGCAUUGAUAGGAUUUGUCCAUGUUAAAUUUCUCUAAGAUUUUCUGGAUAUAUGUAGCUUGGUGAACCAAUAUUCCCGAAGGAAGGUACUCAAAUUGUAAACCUAAGCAGAACUUGGUUUUACCCAAAUCUUUCAUUUUAAAUUCCGUCAUUAGAUAAUUACGAGCUUCAUCUAUAUCCUGUUUGUUGCCAAUGAUGUUUAAAUCAUCAACAUAUACAGAGAUAAUGCAAAAUCCUGUUUUGAAUUUCUUGAUGAAUACACAUAGGCAGUCAUCAUUGUUAGAGUAAUCCUUUUUAAUGAGAAACUCACUUAGUCGGUUGUACCACAUUCUACCCGACUGUUUUAAACCAUAUAAAGAUUUAUUCAACUUUACACAGUACAUGUUGCGUCUUGCGUUAGUAUUCGGAAUUUGGAUCCCAUCGGGAACCUUCAUGUAAAUGUCCGAAUCUAAUGACCCAUAAAGAUAUGCAGUCACGACGUCCAUUAACAGCAUAGAUAGACGAUUUUGAACAGACAAUGAGAUUAAAUAUCGGAAAGUAAUUCCACUCAUAACCGGAGAAUAUGUUUCAUUGAAAUCAAUGCCGGGUCUCUGCGUGAACCCUUGUGCUACUAGUCUCGCUUUGUAUCUCACCACCUCAUUGUUUUCGUUCCUUUUCUGGACAAAAAACCCAUUUGAAUUCCACUGGAAAAACAUUUGGAGGUGUAGGUAUUAUUUCUGUAAAUACCUUUCUUUUAUUGAGCGAGACUAUUUCUGCUUCAAUUGCAUCCUUCCAUUUAGGCCAGUCGGAGCGUUUUUCACACUCAGCUAUGGUCUUUGGAUCAUGAUUAUUUAGAAGGUUGUUUGCAAUCUUAGUAGAGAAAUAAGUGUCGACAAACGUAGUCUUUCUGUUGUAUAUUUCUCCAGUGUCUAAGUAAUUUGUGGAAAUUUCGUUUAUCUUUGGUGACUGUUCGCGAUUUCCCGUUGCGGUCAAGUCUAGGUUUUCCGAUGUCCCAGCAUCAGUAAUUGAGUGCACUAUUGAUCUGAGUUGUGGAUGUUGGUUAUCCACUGGGUGUCUAUUACCCAAUUGAUCUCGGUCAAUUAAAUGUUGACUCACAUUUGUUGUUGUAGAAGGAGGUUCAGAAGGUUUAUUCUUCUGUUUUCUUUGCCGCGGCUCCUUCAUUUGUUCCUUUUGUUGCUUGCUGGAAGCUUGAUCCUUUUUAGUUGUCGUACCUCUCCCCCUCUUCCUUUGAACGGUAGGUGCAGGAGGUUGAGUAGUUUUUAUAGGUACCUCCACUCUUUCGGAUACGUUUUGUGCAUGAUUAUAGGAUUUAGUUACACCUUUGUAAUCAACAAAUGCGUUUGGUAAAUUGUUUGCAAUAUGUUGCAAAUUUAUAAUUUUCUGAACUUGUUGUUCAGUUUCUUGAGUACGUGGAUCUUGAAAGGGCAUUUCUUUCCUAGUUAAUUUUGGUGGUGAUGACAACGUGUGUUGUGGACUAAUCGUGCGUUAAGUAUUUCAGAUUUGAUAUCAAAUGGCGCAAAACGAUUCGAUGCCCUCAAGUUAGAAAACAAAGAGUAGUGGAGUUUUCGCGGCUUUUUCGGUUAUGGAGUCGUAGGAACUCCGUACUAUUAAGAGGGAGUUCACAUGGGAAGGUAAUGGGUGAAUCGCUUUUCACGUACACAAACAAACAUCUUGCAUCCACAUAAAGCCUACCCAAAAAAUGAGAGAGAACCAACCCUAGAGCCUAAUUGGUGUGCAUUUGCCUGCCCAGGUCCGGAAGUUCCGGUGGGGUUCCGGUACACCGGAACUUCCGCCCAACCUCCGGACCAGGUCCGCAACGCUACUGGAAUCCAUUGUGGAUUUCCGGAAGUUGAGCCGGAACAGUGCCGAAACUUCCGGUGACCAGCGGAAGUUCCGCCCCUGGAACUCGCAGUGCAUAACGGUUAGAUUUUGGGGAGUCCAAAUAGAUACCCCUUCAUCCCCAACGGGUUUCUUGUCCGAGCACGAAGCAAAAAACAGCCACCUCUCUCCCAAGAACUUCCUAAGCUUCAUUCUACUAGAUCUCCCUCCAUAAAUUAAGCUUCCCCCUUGUUGAUUCUUUGAGAAUUGGAGGAGAAGACCUAGAUCUAGGGUUCACCAAGUCACAAAGUUGAUUCCCCUUGUUUCUCUUGUGGAUUUCAUUUCUCUUGGGCAUUUGGGAGCUCUAGACGGAAGUGGUUGCCUUGAGCUCUUCCCUUAGGGAUUGUGGAGCUUGAGGAUUGGAUUGGGAGCCUCCAAUUGAGUUGUGGAGCUAGCCUUGGUCAAGUUUGUAAAGGUUCGGUUUUCGCCUUCAAGGAAGUCAUUAGUGGAGCUCACUCACCUUUGUGGUGCCGUGAGAGGAGAAUAGAGUGAGCCUUUGUGGCGUCUCUACCUUUGUGGUAGAGCACUCCUCCAAACGGAGACGUACACCUACCCCAAUCGGUGGAACUCCGGUGAAAUCUUCGUCUCACCUGUGGUAUCCAUUCUUACCCUUCACAUUCUUGUUAUCUAGUUGCUUCGGCUGCUAUUGCACUUCAUCCUAGGGUUGCAUUACCUUUAGAGAAUUUAGUAAACCCUAGGUUAAGUGUUUGUAUCUUUCUAGAAAAAAAAGAUUAAAAUUUUGUUAGUCGCCUAUUCACCCUCCCCUCUAGCCGACCAUACCGAUCUUUCGGAUCUGAGGCUGAAAUGCCUUGGACAUUCCAGUUGAUUUCCUGGCAUUCUUGUUUUUGGUACUUUAAUUCUCCCCCUAAUGCCGGGAAAUGAUCCUCAUUAAAAAUACAAUCAGUGUACCGGGCAGUGAAUAGAUCCCCUGUGAGAGGUUCUAGGUACUUUAUAAUUAACGGUGAUUUGUACCCCACAUAGAUCCCCAAUUUUCUAUGUCGUCCCAUUGAUGUACGUUGUGGUGGUGAGAUCGGUACGUAUGUAGCGCAGCCGAAUUUUCGCAGAUGGGAAAUACUUGGUGGAUUUCCAUGUACUAAUUGAAGGGGAGAAGUAGUAUGAUAUGCAGUUGGUCGCAAUUGAAUUAAAUCAGCGGCAUGUAUAACCGCAUGACCCCAACAAGUUGUUGUUAAAUUACAAUUCUGUAAUAAAGGUCUUGCGAUAAAUUUAAUUCUCUUAAUAAAAGAUUCAGCCAAACCGUUUUGUGUGUGGACAUAUGGGACUGAGUGCUGAACUUCGAUUCCUAAUGCCAUGCAAUAAUCAUUGAAGGCGCGUGAGGAGAAUUCAGCCGCAUUGUCCAUUCGAAUUAUUUUAAUUCGAUGUUCUGGAUAAUGAGCUUUUAGUUUAAUCACUUGGCUCAUUAUAUUUGCGAAUGCAUGGCUACGUGUGGAAAGUAGACACACAGUAGACCAUCUUGUAGAUGCGUCGAUUAAGACCAUGAAAUACCUAAAUGGUCCAGACAAUGGUUGGAUAGGGCCACAAAUAUCCCCUUGAAUUCAUUCAAGGAAUUGGAGUGGUUCCGCUUGUAUUUUAAGAUAAGAAGGUCUUAAAUGAGCUUGCCUUGUGCACAUGCGGUGCAUAAAAAAUCCUGAGAUUUUGGAAUUUUGCUUUAUUAAGAUUAUGACCAAUGGAAUUAUUAAUAAUUUUCCAUAUCAUCCCGAUACCGGGGUGACCAAGACGAUCAUGCCAAGUCUGGAAUGUAUUGACAUUCUGAAAAAUUAUUUUAUACGCAACAUGGGCUACAGGUUUUAUGUAUGUAUAGUACAAUCCGGACGGUAAAGAAGGAAUUUUUUCAAGAAUUUGUUUACCAUAUCUGUUAUGUUUUGUAAAUAAGAGAAAUUCCUCAUUGUUGUCAUCGUGGGUUUCAAUAUGAAUCCCAUUUUGACGGAUAUCCCUAUAACUUAUUAGAGUACGAGUUGAAUCGGGAUACAAUAAAGCGUUCUCGAUUAUUACUUGUGUACCCAUAGGAAGUAUGAUGACGGCACGUUCAGAGCCAACAAGUAUCGCGUCCAGCGAUUGUCAAAAUAUUCCCUUGCGUUUUAGUAAGGGUUUGAAAAUAUUUUUAUUCCCUAAGUAUAUGUUUGUGGUGGCGUUGUCCACAAGGCAAAAGUUUUUCGUCCAUUUUGGAUUGACUCCCGUAGAAAACUAUAUAUGAAAAAUGAAGAAUUUUAAUAUCAUUCUUAAUAGAUAUAUAGAAUACAUACAAAUUUAUUUAUGUAUGAAAUUGAUAAUACAAUAUCGUAAUUUACAAUACAUAUGUCAAAUAUGUAGGUACCAAAGUGCUGAUACAAUAAUGUAAUAUUGCAAUAUAGAUGACAACGGUCACUAUAAUUUAUUUACAACAAUAUUUAGGAACGUAAAUAUAGAUAAUAUCUAUUUCGGAGAUAGGUGAACUAAUUUAGGUCUCCAAACAUAUUAUUUGAAGUGAAUUCAAUGAUCAUGUUCUCCGUGCUCAUUAGAUCCUCAGACGAUCGGAUUGUCGGUUUGUUGCUUGGGUCCUCCUUUAUAUCAUGUGAACAACCGGUUUCCUUGAAAUUGUCGGAUUGGAAAUUGAAGUGUGAUUCAAAUCUUGGUCCUUGAUGAGCAAGUCACUUGCGUCCUACGGAUUGGAGGUACAGAUCUACCAAAUGACGAGGGGUACGGCAUUUCUUUGUAAUAUGCUUGUAGCACCCACAUUUCUGACAAACUUUAGAUUUGUCGUAUUAUGGUUUGAAAGUGCCUUUCCCCUUUUCCUGUACACGUGGCUUGUUUUUCUUGUAGCCCUUUUGCUUGCCUUUGAAGUUGUUUGGUCGAUUAGUCGAUCCAUUGAACUUGUUGUUUUUCUGAAAAUUAGCAUGUACUUCAGGCAAAGGUGCAGCGCCUACAGGACGCUGAUGAUGGUUCCUCAUUAGAAGUUCAUCAUGCUUUUUGGCUUGAAGUAAAACAUGGAUAAGAUCAAAAUAUCUAUUGAAUUGGCGUGCACAAUACUGUUGCUGGAGGAUCCCAUCGAACAGAAGCAUAGUGGAUAAGUUCUUUUCAAUCUUUUCCGCUUCAGAAGGUUCCUUCUCGCAAAAUUGCAACUAGUUUGGAGGGCAAGUCAUAGUGUGUGUGGAUCUUCUUCCAUGAGAUACUCUAAUUUGAGAUCAGCAUGGAUGUGGUUUCUUAUAGUAUAUAAGGCAUUAUAUUUGUAUAAAUCUGCGAUGGGCGGUUGUCCCUCUUGAGGAGGUUGUAUGGCGCUGAAAGACCACAUGACGCAAGGCUCACUUUUACGUCCAUUGCCCAAGUUGGAUAGUUUCGACCGUCGAGAGCGAGUUCCUCAAACUCUUUCCCGGUCAUUUUGUCCUACAUGGGGUUGAAAAACCAUAGAUUUUGUCAAUUACUAGUAGGUAAAGCCAAAAUAUUGUGGUCAUUGUUGUAAUAAAAUUGCAAGAAAAUGCAUGAGAUUUAAUCCAUGUUAAAUUCAUAUAGUGUAUACCUCAAAUAACACUUUGAAGAUAAUCACCGAUUUAUUGGUGUAGAUCUCUCAGCUCUACGCGAAAAAUUCGCUGCUUUCAAUAAGGUUUAUGUUCCCACGGAACAUUCAACGCCAUUUAGCAUUUUACCGUUAUUGAAAGACUGUAGCACCUUGUGUUAUUUUUUAAUUUAAUAUUGGAAGAGCACGUUGAAGGUAGUCAUUGUGUGUAUUCGACACAAUGUAGACCUCUCAGCACUACGUGAAAUAAUUCGCUGCUUUCAAUAAGCUGUACGUUCCCACGGAACAUUCAACACCAUGUAGCAUUUUACCGUUAUUGAAAGUCUACAGUACCUUGUGUUUCGCAUAUAUUAAAUUGAGAUAGUCACAUGGUGAUAAUUUUUGCUUAUCACUAAUGGAGAUUUUUCUUGAAUCAAGUCUAAUUUGGGCUUUUUUUAUGCCAUUUUGGGACUUAAUCGUUGAAGCAAAACUCUCAGAUAUGCAAGAACUAAGAUCUCAAUUGCAAAGGAGUAAAUAUCACAUGUAAUAGGGGAUGUGUAUCAUACAAACACAUUGAACACAACAAUAUUUACAUUGACAUUUACAUAAGAAUAUGUCUUUUAAUAGGAAUCCAUCCUAAAACCACUGGAAUCUAAAUAAAUAUAAGUGCAGGGACCUAUAAGUAUGUAAAAUACUACUGUUAAAUAGAUACAUGGACCAAAUCGCAAAUAGCCAGAAGUUCCGGACUUUUCUGCAAAAUGGCCGUAGCCAGUGGAGGGGGGGCGCGGGCGUGGUCCUGGGCCUCGGCGGCCUUUCGGCUGGCCCAGGUCGGGCCGAGGGGGGGGGGGGGGCGAAAGGGUACAAAGGGGGGUGGGGCGUGCGGUUAGGGUUAGGGUUACCCCGCCCCAACGCUGCCGCCGCCACUGCUCCCCCCAAAUCCCGCCGCUGCCGCCCCGUUGUCGUCGCCGCGAUGCCGCUUCCGCCGCUGCUUCCCCUCCCCUGCGUCGCCGUCGUUGUUAGAGAGAGGGUGGCCCCCCCUCGUUGGAGGAGGAGAGACCGAGGGCGGCCGGGUUCCACCCGCCACCGGCCGGUCCGGUACGGUUAGCCGCCAUGGCGGCCGCGAACUUGCGGAGAAGCCGCCGGGCUUCGAGAUGAACAUUGUCCAGCACCUCUCCGACGUCGUCGUCGGUUGAUGGAGCGGGAUCGGCGGCCGGCGUGGAUUGAGUCGGGGAGGAGAGCGGCGGCGCCAUGCCAUCCCGCGUCGGGCACGGCCUGUGCUCGUGGAUUGGGCAGUACAGCGGCGGUGGAGGUGGCGCAAGAGCGAGGACGAAAUCAUCUUCUUCGCCGAGCAUGCGCGGUGCCGGUCCGAACAAUAUCCAAUCCAUCGAAGGGGUGUAGUGCGGGGAGGCCGGCGUCGUUGUGUCCGUUGGUGCGGCGGCCGGCGGUGUGGCUGUGGUGGGCAUGGCGUGCACCCGAACGGGUCCGACGUCAAGGGGCCCACCGGCGAGUCCAGCGGCGGCGACAACCACGGUAAGCUCCCCGGCAAGGUGCUCCUUUGCCAAAGAACUCGAGAAGGGCAAGAAAAACGAGAGGCAGAUCAUUGAUUGCCAUGCUCCUCACCUUUGUGAUUGUAGAACAAACGUGGCUGAUAACGUGUUAGAAUAAAAUCUGUGUCUUGUCCCAUUGAAUGAUGAUUAUAUUUAUACAAGGGUAAGGAACACCAAUACAUGCAUUGGUGUCCCAAGUUUUGGGCAUUCGCAUCCCAAUUUUCCCAAAAUUGGGACGCGAACAGUUACAAUAUUAACUACCUAAUUAACCAUUAAUUAAUCCUAAUUGAUCCUAAAUAAUUAUUCUCAACAAUAAGCUCAGAUUGUCCAACCACAACAAGACGGCAUGGGAUCGUCCGUGGACUAGUAGCGCGAAUGAACACUUUAACUUUCACCUAUAGCUAGCUUAACUUUCAAAAAAUGCUUAAAAGGGAACUAAGGAGCCCCUGGCUGAUAAGCUCAACAGAAAAGGAUUGGAAAAGGAAGCGAUGGUUCGUCCACAGCAGGAUUCAGACCAGCGCAAUCCCAACAGAUUCCGAGCCUGUCUCCUUAACCAUUCAAACAUAUCCACAAUCGUGUUAGCUGUGACGUAGUUUUAUGUAUAAAUGAAAACUGUAUACAAGAUUGAAUAGCGGACACAACGCAGCAACAGCAGCGGCAACUUUUAUGUUACAGGUAUGUCGACUUCAAGGUUGUUCCACAAUGACCAUCCGGCGGGAUAGUUGAGUCGGGGAGGUUCUAAGUUGAAAUUCCAGACCAUAACUCGGUUGCAAUUGUCUGGAAGACCCUCUAUCUGACGCUCGCUUUUAACAAGCUUCUCAAUAAAUCGUGACUCCUGCAACGAUUAAAUAUUCAGGUCAGCCGAUCAAUUUGAUAUUGGGUCACAAAAAAUAGCCAUGAUGCAGUUCUAUUUUCUUCUGAUAUACUAAUGGACUUAGCUGCUUAAAGAGACUAUUGGUGGCAGUUUACAUUGAUUUUGCCUUCAUAACAAUUUUAUCCAUUUGCUAACCAAUAUUAUGUUUCAUUUCAUGCCACACUGGCCAUUUCUCAGAUAGAAACUGAUUGCAGUUUGCUCCAUGGAGAUCUUGUAGAUAGAAAACCAACCAAGCAGCGACAGAAUUACACAGAAAUAUUUCCAUUGAAUUAUUCUAAUGUGCUUGACUAUGCACAGCGUUGCGAAACAAAACUCACCUGCAAACCGCCUCUUCCACCAGAGUGGACGAUGACAGAAUCCAAAGCUGGGCGGUUCCACCUCUGAGGAUCCCAGAGCAUUGUACUGUUGAAAGCAAACCCAGAAAAACCAAUAGGGAACCGACGAGGUGCACCCUUCUUCUGAAUUGUGUUCCAUCCAGUGAUUCGAUUACCUUUACACACUGGACCUUCUAAAACAACCCUGUACUUACUUCCAUCAUGGAUUGCUACAGGCCAUGUGCCAAAGCGCCUGCAGAAAAAAGAACAAGCUUGUAACAGAGAGAAGGAGAUUCCUUUCAUCUGAAAUUUCUGAUAAGCAGUGUAAAGGCAACCAAAAAAGUGAAUCUGGAUAAUCCAUUAUUGCUUAGGAUGAUGUUUCACCUCCUACAGCAAAUUUACUUCACAGGUUUCACCAUUUAAAGACUACUCACAACUAAUUAAAUUCUUUACAAAUUAUCGCCAUUUUGCAUAUCUUCUCGAGUUAUAGCACCUAAUUUGGUACUCUCAUCAGUCCUCACUAUGCUAAACUGAAAACACAGCAUAGAUUUAUAGUACCUUCUAUUAUAUUUUGGCAGUGAAGAUCAAAUUCAAAACUGCUUUAAAAAUAAUUAAAAAGCUACUGGCUGGAACCUCAUACUGUUUGCCAUAACAAUGAGUUGGUUUGGAAACAAAGAACUUCCUAGACCUGAUUCAGUAUCACUCAUUAAGCAUCUUGGGCGUAGUCCAAACAACUAGUUUAAAAUGAAUUAAAACUGCAAGACUUAGAUUAGGUCCUGUUCUAAGUGGGAUUGUCGAUCUUAAUAAUUUUCAUACUCCCUCAGAUCCAUAAUAAGUGUCGCUGAUUUAGUACAACUUUGUACUGCAUCAAUGACACUUAUUAUGGAUCAGAGGGAGUUCUUUUUUUACAAGGUACAGCAGGCCCAUUCCACUCACAUCAUAGUCCAUAGAUAGGAAAGGUUUUUGUGCCACUGAUACUCACCAGUAUAAGCUAAGUUCAACCAUUCAAAGGUAAGGAACUCUAGGAGAGAGCUUUCUGUUGCAAUGCAAAUACAGAAUACAGACCCAGCACACAACUCUAGGAGCAAAGCUUUCUGUUUUGGCUAUGGUUUACUAAAGAUACCGCUAAUUUCCAGAAAUCCAAGUGAUGGGUAUGCAAUUUUGAAACCCACUGUGUUGUCUGUUAUCAAUAUCCAACUGCAGUACAAGUGUACAUACUAGAAAUGCCCAGAGAUUCCUUGAGAAGGAAGUAUUUAGCACUCUACUCAAUGUUCACUAACUUUGUUAGCAAGGAACAUGUAACACCCAACCUAGCACUGACUUUUGUCAUAAGCAAGGAAGAUGUAACGUUUCACUCACACAAUAUACAUGAGCAAAGGAACAAUGUUUCUAUAGUUUGAUAAGCAUAAUCCCUUUUUCCUGGCAGGGUAAUUCCACAGUUUUAUUUAUACAACAAAAGGGUUCAAAUUCCCGUUUUGAAUCAUCCAUGCAUUCAUAAUUUAUUCAAUAUAUUGGUAGAGCAAAUGAUGUUUUGGUGGAGAAUUGUCACCUGAUUCUCCGCAUUUCUUCAAAUACAUCACCCAUGUAUGAUCGCUCUUCAUCAGCGAAAUGCACUAUACCAUCAAGGUGGUGCUUUUUAAUAUGAUAGAUUGCAUUAUUCCUUUGACAGACAGCAAUCUUCCGUACACUGGUAAUAUUCUUCCUGCAGACAAGAUGCCUGUACAUAACCCCAGAAGACCUCAGGAUUUCUUCUGUCUCAAAGGUAGUACCAGGCCAUUCCACCACUAACCAUAAAAGAGGAGGUGGCACACCUUUCAAAACAUGAGCUAGACGAUUCAAGUAAUACGCCUGUUGUGGCCGAACAGAAGUGACUGUCACCACUAUCAGAAGCUUCCUCACUGGGAUGACCAAAUCAUUAAUAGCGGGUAUUGCACGUGAUGCUUCGACAAAAUCAACCUCAUCAUCCAACAUUGGAGGAACCGGAGGACUCUCUUCAACCUCAGGCUCGUCAAUCACCUCAACCUCUUUCUGCACUACGAUUGCAUCCAAUUCCUUAACUUUACCAUCCACCAUUUCCCUCUCAACCACCCCAUUAUCGAAUGGAAGCUCUGAGACUAUCUUCUGGGAGACAUCAACCGAGAAGAAUGGCGUGAACCCAAUGAAGAUGCCGACCAAGAAACAUACAAACAGCCGAAAUGCAACUCUCUUGCAGAUCAGGCACUUAGAUUUUGAUCUCUCGGGCGAUCGCCAUGUGGAUCUGAGCCUGCUUGACCACAAAACAAAGUCCAGAGAGGCCAACGAAGCCAGCAGCCCCCUCAUCACGACGUACGACUGCGAAUAUAGCAAUUUAGGAGAUGGCGAGGGGUCAGCAAACUGGGACCAGUCCUUGGCCUGGCCGUCUCGGUGGAAUGCCCCUGUGGAAUUCCUUCUGCUAGACACCAUUCCAAUAUCAUUAUGCAUGUAUGCCUCCUAAAUUUCUCAGAAGCGCUUGCGUUUUAGUCCAGGAACACUGCUCUUACUAUCACUUCUGAUCAUGCGGACAAAUGAAGCGGAAUUGUACCUGCAAAAUAACCAGUUGCAAGAAUUGCCUCUGAUCAGCUCAAAAUAAAACUACAUAGGCUCAUCCAUCCACAUAACAUGCAAAAUUAGAACCUCUUCUACUACAGUAGUUCAGCCAGCGAGAUCUGCAAGAGCACCGCAGAGACACAGAUAGGAGACAUCUCCCCACACCAACCGACUAAAUCAACUAGCUACUCCAGAUUGCCAAAACCAGGAUCACCUACCAGGCUGGGGGCGGAGCUACAGCGGCACAAGGGUGCAUACCCACUAGUUUUGGCAAAUAAAACUAAUUAGGAAAUAUGCUACUAUGAAAUACAAAGCAAUUCGAAAAGGAUUUCAACCAAGCAGCCCACUUUUUAUUCACCUCAUUUUCGCCCCCAAAAUCCCAUUCAUCCAGCCCAACAUGCAAAAAAAAAAAGCACAACCGGCUGCUGCAACUCCAGGAACCCCAAUUGGAACGGAAAUCAAUCGGAGGCAAGCAGCCGUGCGGGUUACAGGUGCGGAUCUAGAACGUGUGCACCCGGAAAUUGUGAAGAGCAGUGGGAAUUAUCUAUUUGGGGGCGGGCGGAGAGGAGAGGAGAGCGAGGUGAGGUAGGAGAAAGGGGAUGAAGCUUGACUUACAGCUUGCAACGGCUGAGGAGAUCACUGCCGUCGCGGAAGUCACGGAGCGAGGCGGCCGGCCCUGGCCCCUGGGUUGGCGCUGUAGUGACGCAGCGACGCCAGCCGGGCAGGGUUAGCGCGGCCGUCGAGGGAGAGACAGAGCGGCGGCGCAACCGGCCGGGAUUAGCACCGUGGAGGAAGGGAGCGCCGUUGAGGGGAGAGAGCACGGCUAGAUCGUGGGGAAUUUCGGAUCGGGACCUCGGCUGUGCUAUGCCGUGGUAGGAGGAAGAGGAACAAGCACGCCCUCCCCCAACGACGGGUGCCUUGUGCAGUGGUUGAAACCAAGCUCCAAUGAUACCGUUUCCUUCUUCGUGUAAAUAGCUAUGCAUUUUUCAGUAGAACUUUUGAACAUUAUUUUAUGUGUUGAAUGAAAAAUUUACAGGCAAGGACAAAGGAACAAUGAUAUUAGUACUGUAGUAGAAGUUCUCAAAGGACCAUAUUUUCUACGCUUACGUGUUCUAGAAUCAGAAGACGUGUAUACUUGUGACUGAUUAAUUCUUUUAUGACCGGAUCUUGACACUUUCUCCAAUAAAUAUAAUGGGAAGAAAUAGUGAGAACCAGUAGUAAUCAGCAUGGCAACCUCAAGGUCUCUAGGGUAAUCACACACCAGAGCACGACUUUCUGCGAUAUGACAUCAAUUAACAGCCCAAGCUUAUUGUACUAACGUGUCCCUCUCACCAGAAGCCGAUGUUUCUCUCCAAGUGCAACCUGACAACAAGAAAAAACCCAAGAAAAUUUAGCCAGGAAAAUAGGGUCAUUUGUGAGUCAGCGAUAACGCACAGCUUAAACCGGUGGCGCAGGACCGGUCGUGAGUCGGGCCUCGAUCCUCAAGGUUGCUACGUGGCGCUCAUCGGAGACCACCAGAUGCCAGAUUUAACGGCCUCCGUGUCGCCUGGCGGUAGGUGGUGCAUGACGGCUGGGCCCCAGUCAGCAGCGCCCUACCUACCUGCGCAAUAGUUGGCCCGGUCGGCGGCGACGGCGAGUCGUUGUAGUGGUUACCACGUCGGCUGAUUGUAUCCAACGGCAAGAAGCAUGGAUCAUUUGUACUGAGACGGAUCGCGAGAAGCAUGUGGGUCCCGUAUGCAGUGACGUGCACGUGCAUUCGGUUGUGCUUACUGCUGGCUUUUCACAACGGAAUAUUCAGCGACCGGCGGGGACAAAGGGAAGAGUGGCCCACGUGCUCAAUUCCUUCCGCUUGUGAGUAACUAUAACAUAAUCGUGUUUUUGUUCUUUAGACAAAAUGUAACAACCUAAUCAUGUUGUGGUUCGGCUGCUUAGUCUUUUAGUCGAAAUGGCCGUCCGAUUAUUCUUCCCCUUUGCCAGCCCCAUAUGAUUGGCGUUGGCGAGAAAGAAUGUACUCCCUAAGCAUUUUCAGUAUUGAACUAGAGUGAAGCGUUACUUUGAUUCAAAGGAUUUUCAUAGGGAUUUUGGAGGAUUUGAAUCCUUAGGAUUUUUUUCAUAUGAGUUGUUUGAUUUGUAGGAUUGAAUCCCAUGAAUUUUUUUCCUAAGGAUUUUAUUGCAUUACAGUAGGAAUUUUUCGAUCCACUCCAAUCUUUUUUUCAAAUUCCUUUGUUUUUCGUGUGCUCAAUCAAACAAACAUUGGUCUAACCACAAUCAUGUAGGUUUCGAAUGGCCAUGACAUUGCAAUUCUACAGUUUUCGUAUUCUUGUAUUUUUUUAUCCUGCGAAUCAAAGAGGCCCGAGACCUUUUUUUUAAAGCUUGUGAGUACUAGUAAUUGAGUACAUGUGGACUAUUGAUACGUACAGUACUGCCUAAGCAUCUUCAGUAUUGAACUAGAGUGAAUAUCUAGAUUUUUAGUCGAGUCGGCCGGAUACGAUGCAUAUAUAGAUUUGGCUUUUUUUUAGAAAAUCUAUAGCUAGCUAGCUAGGUACGCCCUGCGUUUCCUAUCUAUCUAGUAAUAACAAAUCUCAGUUGUUGGAGCGACUACAACAACUGAUCAAUCGGUCAGCCUCCACACGCAGGUCUACCAGAAACAAUGUUGUUGGCGUUUCAUGAUGCAUGUCGUGAAUGCUUUGCUUAAAGCUCCUCCUCCAACUAAUCCCAUUAGCUGAUGCUGACACUCGUGUAUGCACCAACUACGUUAAGAAAAAGAAAAAAGAAUCCUUUACAAAAGAAUUGAGAAAGGAACCAGUUCUCAGGACAAUUUGCACCGACGACGACCGGUUCGUACAUCGAUCCUGCUGUCUGGUUCACAUUUGCACUGGAUUAACUGGUAUAUACCUUUCCUGUUCCCCAUUUCAUGUAUCUCUCUCGAUGUUCGAUUAGUCAGCAUUUUGUGAUGUCUUUGUGUGGGGGGAAAAACUCGAGUCUAAAAAAAAAUGCAGGCCUUGUGUUACACUGCAAUUAAAGAUUACUGUUCGUAAUUGGUUCGUUCCCAUUCGAAUUGAUCAAGUGAUCAUUAUAUUUAACACUUUUAGUUAUCAGUGUCUUCUUCCCCGGCGUGCUUCUAUUAAUUAACCUGAUAAAGCAUUCACAUGUGCACUUUGUAUAACAUGACUGCAGAAGAGAGUGUUGUUGCAAACAAACGCGAGAUUAGAUUACUCUGGUGUUGCCACUAACCAAAGGCAUGAUGCGGCCAUGCAGGUCCAGCAUGAUUGUCAUCAAAAGUGACCGGCCAUGUGCUCCCUUUUUUUAAGAACUACAGUAAAACAGAUGGCAGAUGGGAAUGCGGAGGCGGAGAAAAUGGCUGGCAAAUGUUUCGGUGAUACUCGUUGUAAGUCUGGGCCUAUUCUUGCUAGGCACUUUCAAACGGGCUCUCUCACCAAAAAAAGAGGGGAAAAAACGGCUUAACGGGCUGUAUGCCUAGAAAGCUUAAUGGAGUCUACUAACUGGGCUUGGGCCUUCCUCCAAAAAAGGUUUUGGGUGGUCGCGGUGGUGUGUGUGGGGGCGCCUGGUGGUUAAGAAAGUUUAAUUAAUAUAAAUUGUGCGCCAUGGCUCUUCCUCUUCUGUGACGACACUUUACCGGACGAAGCAGAGAUAUCUUUCAUCCACAGGUUCGAUGUGUGUGAUCUUGCGAACUUUAGGUUCGUUUCCUCGCAGAACCGCUCAUACAUAUAUGAUGAGUUGUUGCUAGUGUGUCCUAGUGCUUUUAUUGGCAUGGUUUUUCUAUGGCAUUUGAGUCUUUCUUUGAUGUUCAGAUCAAGACUAGACGGGCCAGCGCGCUUCGCUGCGCCGUCGUUUUAUGAGUCUUGAGUUAUUAAUCUUUGAAAUUUUGGAUUUUUGCUAUAUUUAUACAAGAGCGGGGCUGCUUAAGCACAUAACCAACAUCGUUUUUCAUGCCUGGACAAUAAAAGCAUAAUAAAUUAACCACCUUGCAUGUAAGAAUGCGUGUCUACAAUGAUGCGUAUAGAACGAUAGCAUAUUUCCAAAAUUUUCCGUACUUGUUUGGCUCCAAGGUAAUUUCAUAGUUCUGCAGGAAAGUAGCAAAUUCAAUAAUUAACACAAUUCUAGAGCCAAAAUAUGUAGUGCCAUGUCCUCAAAAACAGAAAAAAAAAAUGAAGCUUUGAUUUCACAGAGCCACCAACAAUAUCCAACCAAACAAUCAACCAAUCGGAAGAUCUCCGUAAAUUAAAACUUCAGAAAAAAUGGUUAUCUUAAGGAGCAUAGUUAACAGAGAAAACUAACAAACGAAAAAGUCUAACUUCUUGAAGUAUUUCCCAUACAAUCGGUAUCAUUCUUGACCGAAAAAUGGUUAUCUUAAGGAGCAUAGUUACCAGAGAAAACUAACAAAGAAAAACUGAACAAUUCAUAUAAUCUUCUGGAUGACCUGUGACCUUCAAGAUUCAUCAGUUAAAACCGAACAAUUCAAUAAAAGCUUUUGGAUGACCUGUAACCUUCAAGAUCAUCAGUCAAUGCUUUACAUAGAAGGAACCAACAAACCUGUCUAAUGCUUCACCUGUAAAAAAGAGAAGCACCGGGCAUUUUAGGCACUUGUGUUCUAUUAAACAAAUCUCACAGUAUUCCUAUGAGAAAUCAGAAUUUUUCAAUCAACAUAACAAACUGAAAGAAAGCGCGAACAUGAUGUAUUGAUUCUUGACACAAGGAAAUGAACUCAAAUGAUACAUGCAUAUGGAACAUUUAUAGUUUUAUGUGAACUCUAGAAAAAUAUGUACCAAAUUAGCAUCAUUUUAUUUUUCAACUAUUACAAAAGAAUUGAGAAAUUUCUUUGAUUCCGUAUGAUCAUGAAGUCAGCACCAUUAGGUGUUUCAAAUAACAGAAGGAACAUGCUUAGUAGAAGGGAACCUCUCAGCACUAUCUAGCUUCCUUCCAACACAAAUUUUCUCUAGAGCAAUUACAGGAGUAUCUUUAAGUAACAUAAAUAACCAAUCAAAAGAUCUAGGAAUUGCAAGUUUGUACAACAACCAUUACAUGCCAUUUGGUUUCAAUAGAAAAUAAUAAGAGGAACAACACAACCGAUGAACUUGAAUUUCAUACUACUAAACGACAUAUCCAUGAUACAUUGGAGCAGGUUAACAAAAAUCCGAAGACGUCGAGAAAAAGAAGAUAGCUUUCUCACUACGGGAAGAAACAAUAUAACAUGAUCACAUCUUUAAAUGACAUAUCUCGGCUCUAAGAUAGCGCAAACACAGUAGACAGAAGUUUAGGGAAAAUAAAAACCACUAACCUUGGUCAAGUGUAAAGUUAAAUCAUGUUAAUAAACCCUGAACCAUGUCGUCCUCGGAACUGUGGAAUGCAAAGAUGUACUAAGCACAGAAGUGGGGUUUGCUUCAGUCAUUGUUACACCACAAUAAUUUGGAGAGCAUGAAAUCCAAAUCCAAAUCUUUCACUAUUAAACAUACAAUAAUUACUCACAAGCACACGAACUACAUAGGAGCAUAUUUAGCACCAUGAUUAGCACUGUCGUAAUCAGCGAAAGCGGUUGGGAAAGCUAAGGCAAAUAUUCCAGCAGGCCAGACUACCAAAGGGCAAGCCCAACUAAGGAGAGAACUAAAAAUCAAGCACCACCACCUCAAAAUAAUCAUUUCAGCCCAUAAGGUCAGGAUGAUCUCUAGCUAAAACUGCACCGGAGAGAUUAGCAUCAGUGCAAGAACAGAUUAACAAAAUUGCACAAGAAAGGGAAAUGGUGUAAGGGCUGAAUUUGCUGCACAAUUGGAGGAAAAGGUUCUUCUCUCUCCCAACUUUGCAUACACAUAGCAAAUUAUAAUUUCCUAGCAGCACCAUCCAUCCAUCCAUCCAGAACCUUAAUUCACAGCCUGCAAAUUGCAAGAAGCCUCGAACAAACUUGUCAAUUUGUCCUAUAUACACAGCCUGAAGCACUACAGCGAAAUCUAAAACAAGGUUAAUGCUGUCCUGUGUACACUGAGAUUCAGAAUCGAAAUUCACCAACAAUUUUGACUCUAGCUAGUUCUUUAGGACAGAACAAGAAGUAGGAAAGAUCCAACCUGAGAGGUAAGCAAUGCAUCAUCUGGUGGAUCCUAAUGGCACAAAGGAAAAGAAAUAGACCACUGACCAACACGAAAAUAACUUGGAUCUCAAGGAGAAGAGGAGGAGGGAGAUCUUGAGGAGCAAUAAGAAACAAAUUGGAUUGAAUCUCAAAUGGAUGGGAUGUAGAACACAAACCGGCGGGUUUGGUCUCUCUCGGGCACCCCUGUGCGCGCUCACUGGUGGCCGGUAUCCACGGCCCGCUUGUGGCCCUGCCCUGCGCCGACUCUUUCGCUUUGGCGCCGGCGGCGUCACGCGGCCAUCUCGCCUAGCCGACCACGACCACCACCUGAACCUCAUCGGCCAGUUCAGCCCUAGAAGAACGCCAUGGCCAGAACGGGCGGCUACCAAAGUACAGCAAAACAAAAACAAAAGGAAAUGGUUUCUUCAGACCUGGGGCAUCAACAAAUCCACCAAAGUACAUCAAAACAAAAAUGAAUAGUGGAGUAUGCACAUCAAACACAUCGAAGCAUUGGUUCCUAAAUUCCUUGGGAAAAUAACAGCGGAGACAUAUCCAAAAAUCCAUCAGAAAACCCCCCAAAAGAACACGGAACACCUCCUCACCGAAUUUCGAAAAGUGGUACACGAAUUGAAACACGGUCAGACCAGGAGUGGCGGACGGCAACGUUGGCGAUGCAGAGAGAGAUGAUCAGUGAAGAGAGCGUUCGAGGAAGGCUCGGGAAGGAUCGAGAAGGGCUUCG
RNAcentral lists this long non-coding RNA (61375 nucleotides) under Brachypodium distachyon (stiff brome). RNAcentral describes it as "long non-coding RNA (BDIS_LNC001806)". The stretch from base 18453 to 18588 matches the Rfam family "MIR1120/MIR1122 microRNA precursor family". The record is from RNAcentral. Lineage: Eukaryota; Viridiplantae; Streptophyta; Magnoliopsida; Poales; Poaceae.